CCCAACUUAAAGGAUGUCAGGAUAAGGAAUUGUGAUGGUAUUGAAGAAGUUGUUUCAAAAAGAGAUAUUAAUGAUGAAAAUGAAGAAAUAAUAUCUUCUACUCACACAAACACCUUCUCCUCCUUCCCUCUUCUUGAUUCUCUCUACCUUUUUAAUCUGCCAAGCCUAAAGAGUAUCGAUGGCGGUACUACAAUCACAACUACUUCCAUCCAUGAUCAUUCCAGGUAUNAUUUCUCUUAACUAGUGGAUCCUUUACACAUUCAGUUAUUUGUUUUAUUUAUUUAUUUAUUUAUAAUAUUUUCUUCUCCAUUAGCUGCUUUAUAUAACUCAAUAAGCUAAUUCUUCUGAAUCUGGAAAGACAAAAUAACUAACUGAAUACCUAAUUUUUUUUACAGUUUAUUCGUUUGCAUAGGUCAUUAAAGUUAUUUCUCUUAAGCAUGGUUAUAAAUCAUAUGAAAUGCAUUUUUUUAUCCAGUUUCAGUUAAGUUAACUAAAACAGAUGGUGGAUUUAGAUCGGAUUGUGAGGGAGAGAAAAAAAUUGAUUGAUAAAUAUAUAUAAGUCAUAUCAACAUUACUCUUGAUUGUUAAGUAAUAUGAAAACUGGAACAAAAAUGGUUUUUUUUUUUUUUUUCCUAGCUUGCAAUUUUAGCUUAAUAAAGUUCAGUUUGUUGUUUAAAAGAAAUAUCUNUUUUUUUUUUUUUUUUUUUUUUUUUUUUUUUUUUUUUUUUUUAAAUCUUUCAAAAAAAAAUCUUUUUUUUUUCUGACAUGGAACUGAAAAAUAUCAAACUUUACCUAUAAGUAUAUCUAGUGUUCCGACUGAAAAUAUAUAAAUACAAUAUAUGGCAAAAGACUCCUGUUCACAACUUUUUUUUAAAAGUAUUAAAUUUAAGACAUUGAUCGAUCAUCGAGCCAAACGACAAGAUUGUCAGUUAUGGGAAGUCUCAAGAUCUUCAUUUAUCUAGUAUAAUUUCCCAAGUCUAUAUUGAAAAUGACUCCCUUGAAAAGAAAAUUUGUUUUAAAAAUGCUUUCUAUUAUGAAUAUUAGGAUCAAGAUAGAUUUUGCAAUAUACAAUCUAUUGAACAAUCAUAGAUGUAUAAUAAACGCACCUUUAUUUUCACUAUAGACACUGAUAUUGAUAAGAGUCAUUAUCUGUUUCUUGGAUUUGGCCUUGUCAAUAAUUCUAUAUUCACAAAUGCAAAAAUAUAAACUUUUUUGAGAAUUCUAUAUUCAUAAAUGCUAAAAUAUAAACUUUCUUUUCUAAAGAUCAGAUUAUCUAGACCAAAAUAUGUGGGUUUAGAUGUAGCACACACAUGAUGGAAGACUUGGAAUAAAUUAAUUAUUGAUAACGGCUGAUUAGAUGCUAACAUUCUCCAUAUUAAAUUUUUCUUCCUUUUGUCACUGUGUCCUAAAUUAACCCUUCAUGUUAGUAAAAUUAUUUAAAACAUGAAGAAGAUGAUGCAUGUAAUCAAUGCAGGUACGGAAAUAUAAGCAUAUUGAUUUCAAACUCAUUUCCUAAUAAUAAAUAAAUUUAGGAGUAAAGUUAUGUUUUCAUUUUCCCACAUUGAGGAGGUAAUGGGUUAUAGAGUCCAAUGCCUUUUAUUUUCUCUUGAUAAACCAUAUACAGAAAAACCACUAUAUUUUUAGUCAUUUUCUCUGUUCAACAUGCUUUUCUUUAUUUUAUUAUUACAUCAUCCUACUUUCAUUUAUUCCAGUUAUAGCAUUAUACUUUGAAAAAAUAUACCCAAUUAUAUGUGGCUACGACGGCCUGAUAAGAAAAGUCGAAAGUACAAUGCUAUAGCUGGGUGGAUUUUCAAAGUACCUUUAUGGUAGUCUUGGGUCAUUUAUUAAAGUCUAAAAUUAUAGAAAUAACAUUUUACUUUCACUGAUAUGAUUAUAAGAGCAUCUUACUUUCAUUUUUUCCUAUUAAAGCAUUGUAAUUUAAGUAACUCACCCAUUUAUUGCAAUUUCAUUCAAAUACAAAGGAUUUCCGUUACUGCAAUAUAAAGAAAUGAAAGUAGGAUGCUAUAAUAAACGAAUAAAUGGAAAUGCGUUGUUAUUUCUUUCAUUUAGACCUUCUUCAGUACAGAUAAGUAAAUUUCAUAGCUAUAAGUCUAGGUGAAAUAUUUGUAUAUUUUAUGGUUUAUAUCAUGCUUUCAUGUGUUUAUAUCUCAUAUUUAUUCUUUUUUUUAGUUUCAAAAAUGAGACUAACCAUUAUCAUGACCACCAUGUCCACUUCCAGUGUCAUACACUUUGCUUCUGGACGAGUAAUAUAUGUUGAUUAAUUGCUAAUCAAAGUACUUCAAGGUCUCUUCAUUUUCAAGUUUUAAUUCGAAUAAAUGCUAAUUAGUUGUGUUAAUUAGCACGUAGCAGUUUUAUUUUUCUUGUGUCAGUUUCCUAUUUGUAGGUUGUCAUAAUCUCUUCUAAGCCUAUAUAAUUAAGGCCACUUUUAUGAUUGAUUUAGUGUGCCUUUUCUUUCAUCCACCAUCUACUUGUUCUCUCCUGCCAACAAUAUAAGCAUAGCAUACAACUGAUUAGUUUCUUGUUUUUACUUAUUUUGUCUAUGUAUAACGAGGGUAUUUUGGUCAUUUGACAAACCUUCUUCCUCAAGGAGUCCAAACACCACGAUUUGGUUUCUCUUUAUUCCUAGACCUUUUAUCCAUUUUUUCUGUAUAUUGCCCUUUUGGAUUUCAACUUCCAUUGUCCACAUUGUUACUUAAUUACCUUAGUUGUGUGAAGCACUCACGAUUUUUUUUUUUUUUUUGGAAGAGACCGAAGUCUCGGCAAACUAAAGGGAAGCACUCAUGUUUGUAACCACACUUCUAGAAACAAAUGAUAUGUUAAAUUGUAGUGUGUAUGUGUGUAUCAAACAACUAAGCUUUGUUAAUUUAAAUAGAUCCAUUGAUUUUUCAUGUGUUGUUGUAGUGUUCUCAAGUCGGUGUUGCUUCUUGGUUCUUAUGCCAAUACUCCAAAAAGAUUUAUAUAGAGAACUGUCCUGCCCUAUCAAGAGUGUUUCCAUGGUAUGUAGUGGGACAACUGAAUAAGCUUGAAGAGUUGAGAAUAUCAAAAUGUAAGUCAAUGGUGGAGAUAUUUGAAAGUGAAAGAGUCAACAAUGAUGGUGUUGAUAGUACUACGAAUGUUGGUGAUGGAAGUGAUGAUACUUGUACUGCAAUCACCAUCCCAAGGUCGGCAAAUAUGACUCUGCUUCAAUUGCCCAACCUAACAAUAUUGGUCAUCAGUAAAUGUGAAGUUUUGGAAUAUAUUUUCACAAGUUCCACACUUGAAAGCCUCGAGCAAAUCAAAGAACUGAUUGUAAAACAAUGCAAGGCAAUGAAAGUGAUUGUGAAGGAUGACACAGAGCACACAGAAACAUCUAAAUCUAUAAUAGUCUUCCCACGUCUCAAGUCCCUUACACUUGUAGAUUUACCAGAUCUCAAGGGUUUCUUCUUGGGGAAGAAUGAGUUCAGGUGGCCAGUAUUGGAAAAGGUUAAGAUUUAUGGCUGCCCACAAAUGAUGAAUUUCACAUCUGGUCACUCCAUGACUCCGAAGCUCAACUACAUACAUACAGCCUACGGCAAGCAUAGUCUUGAAUGUGGCCUCAACUUACAUUUGACCAAUGCUACACAUGAGGAUGAGGUAUGUUAUCACUUUAUUUCAUCAUUUAACCAGGUGAUCAGCAUGUCGUUUUAUGAUGUUCAACAUAUUAUUUGCUUACAAAAAUUAGGUGGCAGGUUCAUAUUUUUAUUCCAGAAGGAAACAUAAAACAAAAAACCAAAUGAAGAUCCAUAUAUAACCACUUCCCUUUUUUAUAUCCAUAAAAAGUUUUGAAAAUAUGCAAUCUUAUUUUUUAUUAUAAAUUAAUAUUUCAUUCCUAAGAUAUUAAGUUAUCCCUUAUGUUAUGAAAGAUGUUAUAUUCACUAAUUCAUAAGUUAGCAAUUUAAUAUUUUAAUCAAGUUAGAUGAACUAAAGACAAAAGGCCCAAUUGACGCAUUCAUUGUGGGUGGUUUUUUCCAUGUCCAAAGAUUUUUGAACAUAUACAAUACUAGGUUCCGUUUGAUUAAUAUUAAAGAAAAUCUAAAAAAAGAAAUUAAAACAAUAAAUCAGUCUUUUCAAUUUUGAUACAAACCUAGUGAGAAGGACCAACUUUGUAAUUUUGGAACCACAGGGACCGUAACCGCAAAAAUCGACAAACGCAUGGACCAAAUUUGCAGUUUUUGCUAAAAAAAACAAACAAAUCUAACUAGUGGCUUGGAGGUUUGGAGUCUGGGCAAGUAUUCGACUAAAGGCAUAACAAAAUAAGCACCUAAGAAAAAGGGCUUCUAAAAUUCACAUAAUAGUUUCUUUCCUUGAAAACAGAAGAUUUAAGAAUUUAUAUCAAAUAUAUGAAUAUAAAAAAUUAUUUUCUUGUGUAUUACAAAUGAUACUUGGCAAGUUCAUUCUUAUUCAAAUCAUUUGAAAGUUUAUAAAUCAUUAAUUAGGAACUUAGAACCAACAACUUCAUUCGGUUAAGAAAAAAACACAAAAUAGAUGGAAAUAAAAGCAUUAGCUUAUUUUACAUAUUUUCACUCAUAUCUAUUAACAAAUAGAUUUUUGUAUGGAGCUAUAUUUUGUAAUUGAAUCAUUUAUAUCGUUUUCAUCCAGUUUAAUCCAAUUAUCUAACAUAUUUUAUAAUAAUGUGAUGUUAGUAGUUAAUCAAGUUGUUCUUUUCUCUCUCAUCUUCUACAAGCUUGAUAUUUAUGUAGCGUUUAUUACCUAAAUUUGACAAAAAUAGUAUUGCUGAGAUGAUUGUAAAAGUAUAAGUAUAUCAUCCAUAUAUCAUUUGUUGUAUUUGACAAUGCAAUAAAAAUACAAUAACAUAGUUAUCUUUUUUCCUAAAAAAGUUGGAUGUAAACAUUCAGUACAUGAAAAACUACCUAUUUGAAGUAGCCAAAACACUUGACUUUUACAGUUUUACUUUUUAUUUUAUCUGCCCACCCCACACACACACAAACACAAAUAUUUAAUUUUUUUACUUUUAUUUAAAAAGACUCAUCAUUGAUAAAAUCUAAAUUGUUUAAACAAAUCGACAUUCAUUAAUAAAAUCUAAAUUGUUUAAACAAAUGCAAUGUAUAAAUCAGAAUUUUUCUUCACAGUGCUCAUCUUCUCAGAAAAUAAUGUAAGCAGUGCCAUAAACUAGGUUGUUGAUUGGAAAUACAUGUUGCCUCGUUUAAAAAUAAUAGAACUUGCAAUCCUUUACUAUGUUUAUAUACUAAAUGUGUUUGUCCUUUAUAUAUAAUUGUAGUGUUUGAGAUGAUCUAUGUUUGAUUUUUCUUUGCAGACUCAACUCCCUAUGUGCUCUACUCCAGAUUUGAUAAAGCUAGUUCAAUUCCCGUGGUCUUUUUCAAAUUUAGUUGAAGUAGAUGCACAGUAUGGUGACAAAUUGUUGAAAAGCCGCAUAAUUUUUCCAUGCAAGGAGUUGCUUAAUCUGAAGAAUCUUGAAAAGCUUUCUAUUACCAAUGCCCUUGGAUCUGUAACACAGGAGGUAUUUGAAGUAGCAGAAGGGACAAAUGAAGAUGUGGAUAUUGAAACACAAUCUGUUGUGGUAUUUGAGAAGCUGAAAGAGGUGACUUUGGAUACAUUAAAUAAUCUGAAGCAUGUGUGGAGGAGCAAUCGGUGGAUAGUGUUGAACUUUCCAAACCUUACAAAGGUCUCAAUUGAAAGUUGUAAGCUUCUUGGGCACGUGUUCACUUGUUGCAUGGUUGGUAGUCUAUUGCAUCUCCAAGAGCUAAAAAUAAGUUACUGCCAGAGUAUGAAUGUGAUUGUGAAGCAAGUUGAAGAUUCCGAGACCAGACCGACUACUGAGGUUGUGUUCCCUUGUCUGAAAUCCAUAACACUUGAAUGGCUUCCAAAUCUCAAGGGAUUUUGCCUGGGGAAGGAGGCUUUUGAAUGGCCAUCAUUAGAUACUUUGGAAAUCAAAUAUUGUCCAAAAAUAACAGUUUUCACAAAGGGGCAAUCAACUACUCCGGAGCUGAAGUUAAUAGAUACAACUUUUGGAUUGUGUCAUGCAACGGAAGAUCCAAACUCUUUCAUAAAGACCAAACAAGAAGAGGUAUAUGGUGUCUCCUUUGGUUAUUAGUAACAGAUUAAUAUGUUUGAUCAAACAAAAACUUUACAUUACUCUCUAAUUUACCACUUUCUUGUAAUCUCCUACAGGGAUGGCAGUUCUAGAGGAACAUUUGAAUUCGCAUGUGCAGUUUUUCUCAUUUUGAAGUCAGCUAUAUAUAUACAAUAAUAGGUAAGAUUUAAUGCAUUUAAAAUUAAAAUUUUAGGCAUUUUUCUGUUUGAUUAUUGGUCAUGUGAAAUGGUUCUUUUCUCAGUAAUCUUUGGAUAUAUAAACAUACUGUUAAUUUCNUAUAUAUAUAUAUAUAUAUAUAUAUAGCAUAAUAGGUAAGAUUACAACAUUGUACCAUGGUUUAUGCCUUAGGAUUUCUUCUAGCACUCAUUUGUUUCCUGUGUCCAUCAUCAUUUAAGUGUUUCUCUACUUUAUUUGAUUGAACUGACUUAAUGACCAACUCUUCUGCUUCAAGGUUAUUGAAACCCUGUUCCUAAGUAAUCUCAUAAAUCCCUUUUGUUAAAAGAUUUAAUUCACAAGAAAUUGAUACUUUAGACUAAAGUCUUUAGUUAAUCUUAUAUUAAAUCUAUUCUUUGGAUUGAUCGGCGAGUGCAAAUCAAGAAUUCUAGACGAAAGACAUAUUCUUUUGUUCAAAGUUCGGCCUCUUUCAUGAGGGCAUUCUAUUUUGACUUUUUCACAGUAGUCAAACUUAAUGCUUUUAAAAUUCAAAUUAUAGGCAUUUUUCUGUUUGAUUAUUGGUCAUGUGAAAACUUUUUUUUUUUUUUUUUUUUUUUUUUUUUUUUUUUUAUAUAUAUUUCCAUGUGUAACCUUUUAUUUUUUUCAUGAUUUUGUUUUUCAGGCAUCUUCUGAUUUCAAACAGCCCCGCUGCCACCACAUGUCCCUGAGUACUCCCUGGAACUUGUGUCUUGUGGUGGCUGGCGGUUGUUUCUGGUGGUGGAUUUGGCCAGAGAAAUUUCCAUGUGUAACCUUUUUUUCCUUGUGUACAUACUUAAAGAAAAAUUACCUGUUUUCAAAAGAAAAACACAAACUGGGUUGCCUUCUUGAUGAAUUAUAUUUCGUCCUUCACUCACAACUUUACCCUGCAAAUAACAUAAACAUACUUUUCUUUACUAUAUUUUAGUCCCCUGUUUUAGGCUAAACUUAGCUUCAAUAUACUCUAUUUUAUACUUAACGCUAUGUUACCUGUUAGUUUUAAAAUAACAUUACAUUGUAGGCAUCACGAUGUGAAGUAAAACAAAAAGAUGAAAAGUUAGGAUGAAGUGAUAUUACUUGAGAUCAUCCUCUAGUAACAUCUGACUUUGUUUAUGUUUCAAAGAAUUAGUUUAUUUUAAAUUUUCAUCUUUUUACAAAACUUAACUUUACCCCAAUUAUAUACUUUAAUCCGUUGGAUUUCAAGGUUCUAUAUUUCAAGUUUAAGACAGGUUUACAAAAUCUUCUUUAAAGGCAGUGAAAAUCAUCAAUUUUCAUAACUUUCAUUUUUUUUUUAAUUACAAAACAAAACACAUUGUUAAAAAAUUCACUAAUAAUAUUAAAAAAACACAAAUAUGGCUACAAUAUUACAAAACAACUAAUUUAAAAAAAAAAAAAAAUACUUCUCUUGCUUUUUUAGAUACAAAAUCAUUAAAAAUACUAUCAAGAUCGAUUUAAUGUAAUAUAUUUUUCUCUCUACAUAAUAUUGUCAAACCAUUCAACAUUUUUUGCGACAUCGAUGACUUUAGUAACUCUUCAAUAACUUUGGUUUUGAAAAAAUUCAUUUUGCAAUGUAACAGUGACAUGAAUGGUUUAAUAAGAUGCUAUAUGCAAUAAAAAUAUUUCGAUAACAAUCAACAACUUUAACAAAGUCCAAAAUUUCAAUAGUGUACAUUAUAUUAUUUGGCAAAGUCAUUUGCAACACCUUUAAUUUUGAAAGUACAUAGCAAAUCCUAAUUUCUAGGUUUAAAAAUAUCUACAAAUGAUUUUUUGAUUUCUUCUGAAAAGUGUUCCUCAAGAAAAUCCAAUAUUUUCUUAUGAAAGUAGAGUAUUUACUGGUAGAGAAUAUGCCGUCAGUUUUAGAGAUACUAGUGUUAUCUUUAGAAAAUCCCAAGUUUUCCUGAAACAGGUUAUCCAUUCUAGAGGUAGAGAUGUAAGACUAGAGAUUCUUGAUUUCUGAUCAGUAUAAAUAUGAAAAUAGUUUUAUUAUUCAAAAUGAAACAUUUUCAAAGUAGAGUCUGUAAACUAAGUUAGCUUAUACUUAUUUGUGAGUCGUAUAACCAUACUUGAUACGACCUAGAGACCUUUAUAACGUUCUUAAGGCAUUAACGUUAAAUGACAUUUGUACACCCCAGACAUGCCUACCUAACUGUAGCUAGCAGUUCAGGUGCCGGAUUGUCAGUCCUGAAUAGAUCUAUCCACAAAUCUCACGCUCUCCCUCCAGGAGACUCUGGUUAUACUAGAAGGAUUUAUCCAUGUACACCUAAGGGUACAUUAAUGAAGUAGCGCCUCACAAUUCUAUAUAAUCCAGUUUACAAGCUAGAGACCAUAGAGAACAAGCUAGUGACCAUAGAAAACAGUAAUUAUCCUUAGAUAAUAUACUUUAUGCUUUUGAGAAAAUAUAUUACAUAACUAUAGUUGUCAUAGUUAUAAUACAUUUAUCCCUGAAAUCUGAUUCAGUAGAGACUGUCUAGAGAUUAUCCCAAACUAUACCCAUUAUAGUUUGUUAGAGUUGAUAUAGAAAACACUUGUUAAACCUUUCUGUGAUUAGUUAGAUUUCCAAAAUAAUAGUUUUCCCUUAUGCUCAACAUAGUACAAAAAGGGAUAAAAUCUGAGUAUGUUAUAAAAAAUUGGAAAUAAUUGGACUGGAUUAACAAGUUUAAAACUUGAUAAAAUACUUUAGAGUUAUGGCUUGUAUUCCCCCCUUGAAAACAUUAAAACACGGAAAAUAUAGGGGUAUAAACUCACCUGUAGUGAGUGACUUGAAUGAAAGAUCGAUAUAGGAUUGUAGAGUGUUAAGUGAAGUCUUUGGCACAAACGAAUCCUAUUAACCAUAUAAUGACACAUAUAUGUAUAUAAUUAGUGUAUAAACAAAUAAUCAUGAAAGGUAACACCCCUUGGGACUAGGAACACUUAUACUGAAGUGCUACAAUCACAUAUGAUUGCAUAAAAGGGGGUGUAUGACCACUAAAUGGGGUUUUCGGUCCAAGUGGUAUGAUUCUAAUAGUUUUCGGUCCAUAUGGUUUUUGGUUCAUAUGGAUUUCAAUCCAUAUGGUUCUCGGAUUCAUAUGAUUUUCGGCCCAUAUGGUUCUCGGUUUCAUAUGAUUUUCGGUCCAUAUGGUUCUCGGUCACGGGAGAUGCACUUGACCGAAAACACCAAUUGUUCCAAAAAAAAAAAACGGAUAUGUUCAAGCCCCUAAUUCGAUAUCCAAACUAAUAACAUGUAAAGGAUGCAAGGACUUACAAAUUUGAAGGCUAAGAAUAGAGGUUUUUGGCCCAAAACACUUUCGUGUUCUUGAAGAUCUAGUACAAAAGAUGGAAAUUUGUGGAUGGAUGCAAAGAUGAUUCAAGAAGAAGAAGUGAUGUAGCAACAUAUAUAUGGAAGGAUCUACUUACAUUUAUGAAGAUUGGAAGAAAACUUGAAGAUCCUUAGGAGAGAUGUAACGAUCGUCUUUCGAGGUAUAAAUUUAUUUAGAUUCUCAAGUUUUAUUUUGGGCUAUAAUAGAAUUGUAUAUGGGAUUGGGCCUCUUUGUUUUGGGUCGAGACAUAGUCUGCCCAUAAGCCGUACGCGGGGCGUAAACCCGUUGUAUGCUGGGUGUAAUGAUUAAAUGAAACGCGAGGAGGAAAAGCGUACGCGCAGCGUACCAUAUGGUACGCCCGGCGUACGCGGUCAGAGGAAAAACCCUAAUUUUAGGGGUUUAAGGCUAUAUAAACCCCAUUAUAGCCUCCUUCCCUGUUUUCCCAUCAGCCUCCUCACUCUCAAGAAAACCCUAAGUCGUUCUUAUCCUCUCUUUGUGUGUGAAGAAGCUUUUGUGAGUGAUUUAAGGAAAGGAAGUGGUGAAGAAGGAAGGGAAGAAGUUGGAGAAGAAGCUUGAGUUCAGGGAUCUGGAUUUAGCACCCUCUUGGUCAGCAAAGGAAGGUAUAAAGUUCUGAACUUUCUUCCUCUUUCCUUCUAGAUCUAGGUUAUGAAAGUUUGGACAUUUUUAAGUCCAAAGGUUGAGUCUUGAUCUUGAAAGUCGGUUUUGGAGCUUGGAUUGCCAUCCUUAAGGCUCAGAAACAUCUUCCUAUCAAUAAAGUUACAAUCUUUGUGGCUUAUAUGGAACCAUGCAUGAGAUCUAGUUAGCUCUGUGGAAGUAGAAUGUUAUUUAUGGAAGUUUGAGCCUUUAUGAGACUUGUAAGCCAUCAAGUAAGCAACUUUAUGGCUUAAGACGUGGAACAAGCUUAGGAUCUGGAUUUGUAGCUUCUGGAUCAGAUUAUUAAGCAUUUAAUGAGAUUUUGGCUUAACAGGGAUGUACGGUGGGCGUACAAGCCAGUAGCCAGUACGCUCAGCGUACCUUGGUGUACGCCCCGCGUACGCUGCCAGUUUGGGCUUCGAGUGUUUUGGGACUCAAUGUGGGAUGAGUUUUAGACUUAGGGUCUUUGGGCCUUAGUGGCCAUCAGAAUUCAGUUGCUUUGGGACCAAGGACUAAUAUUGGGCUUGAGUAAGGCCCAAUAAAAGGUUUUGGGCCCAAUAUAGAAAAUUGGGCCAUUAGUGGGCCUAUAGUGGGGCCAUUGAUGGACUUAGAAGGAAUUGAGGGUUUGGGCCAUAUUGUGACCCAUGCCAUAGUAGGGGUAAAAGGGUCAUUUUACCCAUAGGAGAAUCCCUAUUCUGAUUUAGUGUUUUAUUUCCCAUGAUAGCCAGGAAGCAGCCGAAGCAGCAGUCAGGGAUUUCUCAUUCAGCAGUUCAGCAGUCAGCAUCACGAGGUGAGUUUCCUUCUAGUAGGAACGGGUCUACGGCCACAAUGACGGCCCGUUUAGUUAGCAGUAGUUCCGGAUUCGGUCUAAUGUAGUAGUUUAGGAUGCUUGGUGUCUUUGUGAUUCAAGCAUGUCUAUGUGUUAUGUGUUCCGGGAUUCGGUCCUAUGCAGUUAGUUCCGGACUCCGGUCCGAUGCAGUUAGUUCCGGACUUAGGUCCGAUGUAGUCAGUUUCGGCUUCUGUCACACCCCCGAACCAGACGGCGGAAACGUCCGGGGGCUGUCGUGACUCAAUUGAAUACCAUAACAUUGAAUAUAUAUGAAACAAAACAACAUUCGUCACCAUUCAUCAACAUAAUACAACCAGUAGUGUUUACAUGUCAUACAUUGUUUGAGAUAUUACAUUUCCAAAAAUUAAUAUUGUUUGGUUCAUUCAAAAAUAAACUGCAACCGUCACUGAGCAUGAUUUCCCUUGACUCACUGGUUUCCUGAGAAUACAAGUAUUUUGAAAAACGUCAACAUAUGAAAUGUUGGUGAGUUCAUAAGUAGUGUUUGAAAUCGAAUGUUUAUAUUGUUUGAAAAACACCAGAAAAUCCGAUAUUUUCUGAAAAGAAAAGCUUUCAAAAACGUUUGUGAAGAUCCAUAGGUAUGCUUGUUUGUUUCUAUACUUGCAAAAAUUGUUCAUUUAAGAUGUAUGCGUUUAAAAUCUGUAUGUGAUAAAAACCCUAGGGAAACCCGAUGUUCCCCUAGUUCUUUUGAAAUCCAUUGAGUUGCGUUGAAACCAUUACAAAAAUAGUAGUAUCGGUCCCAAGCGACGUUGGAAGGUUCUCGAGCAUUGAUUAUUUACUACAAACCCGCAUUACACAAAUGCCCGGUUUAUAGAUAUACCAACGAUUCCCGAAGGCGUCGUCAGUACUAAUCACGUUAUCCAAUCGCCCGGACUAUGAGUGGUCCCACAUCCGAAGAGAAAGAGGUCACGAAGACCCCGGUAACUCUAUUAACCGGCUGGGGAAAUAUGUGUGCGAGGGGUCCCCGACCCGCCUCGUAAAAUGUGUAGACUUUUCUAGCAAUACCAUGGCCCUUGGGGUCCAAUGAUACAAGCCAUUGAAAGUCACCCUACGUUGUGCCAAGUCGGUAAAACUCAACACUUCGUAGAAAAAAAAAUGUCUUCGGGCCUUAAGAUCAGGUCAUUGGGCUAGCUAGGCCCAACAAACAAGAUUUUACACUUUUGGGGCCCGAAGAUGGUGCGUAGACGUCUGUGCACACUCGUAUGUAUGUGUAUUACCAAUCGUUAUUUGUAUGUAUCAAAGAGUUAGUAGUUGUAGAUUUCCAUUGGCUCGAGACCGAGCCAAUUCGUUUAGCAACGACUUUUGGUAUUGUAAUGAGUUGUAUUUCGUUGGUAGUCGAGGUAUCGUUAUUUGAUCAAAUUGUACAUAAUGUAUCAGCCUUGAAAUAUUUUUGUUUUCAGCCCCUCAUUAUUUGUAAAAUUUACAUUUUCAACCCUUUUAUUUAAGUAUUUCCCGGUUUGGUCCUUAAACUAUUUUUCUUGACAUUUUAACACCAAAAAUUAUUGAAAUUAAUAUUUUCCAGCAUAUUUUUCAAAGAAAACAGUUUAAGUCCCUGAAAAUGCAGUUUUUCUCGGUUUUAGCCCAUCUUUUCGCAAUUUUGACAAUUUUGGCCCAAAAUGGAAAAUUUUUGCAACUUUGGUCCUUUUUAAAUUUAAAAAGCAUUUUAAACCUUUGAAAAGGGUUUGGGACACUUAUAGUCCACUGUUUUACAGAAAGUUACAGUUUUGGCCCUCCAAAACAGAAAAAUUCGCAUAAUGGGCCUUAUUGGGCCGAAAUUUGCAUUUUUAGCCCAAUAGGCUUGAAAUUUAUGUUUUUAAUCCACCAAUUGAAUAGAAUUCCAGAAAUAGCUUUAUUGAAACUGUUUUGACACAUUUCAACCAUCAGAAUCUGUAAAAUGUCAUUUUGGGCCCUUAAUUUUGUAUUUUUCACAUUUUUGGCCCAAAAUGUGUGUUUUUAGCUUAAAGAAAAUUGUUGCUAACCACUUGGCUAUUUAUCUAGUAUCACUUAUUAUGUAGGAACAUAUUUGAAGCUAAUAUCAUAAAACAUGAGUUAUAUCUCGGUUUUGAGGGGUUUAAUGGCUAGAUCCAACAUUAAAACACAUAUAAGCAUACAUAUAAGCAUGGAAAUCAUACAAGGCAUACAAAUACAUAUAGAUCUACACUUUCACUUGUAUUCCCCCCCACAAAAACUCUUAAAAACAGAAAAUAGGGGUAUGAAUCUCACCUUGAGUGGGUAGUUUCGGUUCUUGAAGAAAAAUUGGAAGAAAUGAAGUGAUUUUUGGCCCUUGCACUCCUUGAUGAACUUUUCGAGAUUAUGGGGUUUCUAGAGUGCAAGAUCACGGUUUUUACAUGGAUUAGGAAGAGAUUUUGAUAACAAAAGAAUUUAAACCAUAGAUCUAUGAAUAAUCUUACCUUAGAUGAUGAUUUACUUGCAAAAUCCUCUUGGAAAGUCCCUAAAUUUCGAGAUCUUUGGAGAGGGGAGGGAAGGAGAGUUCUUUGAGUGUUCUAGAGAGAAAGUUGAGAUAUUUUGGUGUGUGUGAUGAUGCUUGGCCGAGAGUGAGAGAGGAGAGAAGAAGAAAUGACUUUUGAAGUGAUUUGCAUGGAGAUAUGGACUAAGAUGCAUGGAGACAUGUUGGGUAAUAAUGAGGUGGCAAGCAAAUAGUCAACCCUUCUUCUUGGGCUUUUCUUUUGGGCCGAAAAUGGGAAGGAAAAAAAAAGUUUUUGGGCUUUUUGCUCCUAAGCCCAACAUUAGUGUUAAUUAGGGUAUUUAUUGGACUUAUAAAAUAAAAUUGUGAUUUUUGUGCUUUAUUAAGCUAGGUUAGGUUUAAUUAUGGAUCAAAACUUGUGUUUUAUUUCCUUCUAGGUUCUACCUAGCCCAAAAUAUUGAAAUAAACGAAUGUGGGUCCAAUUAGAGCCCAAUUAGGGUCCUAAACCCAUGAUAGUCCAAUUGGAAGCUUAUUGGUCCAUUUGGAUCCAAUAAGGAAGUCUUAGUCCAAAAUGGACUUAACCAAAACUUCUAGGGUCUCCAAUUGUUUGAUGACUAUCUAUAGUACUUGUAUCUUGUAUUUGGUUAAAGUUUUUGAUUCACAUUAACUUGAAUGUAUAGAUUACAUAGCUUAAAAUUCACAGUUGUGACAUCAUCCCCCCGUUAGAGGGAAUUUCGUCCCGAAAUUCUGUUUGAAAGCUAGAUUUGAGAAAACUAGAAUAGGUGAGGGUACUUCUGCUUCAUUUGGUCUUCGCGUUCCCACGUGAAUUCUGGCCCACGCUUUGCGUUCCACCGUACCUUCACGAUCGGGAUGCGACUCUGCUUAGUACGCUUCACCUCCCUGUCCAUGAUUUCGAUUGGUUCUUCGACGAACAGGAGAUUCUCAUUGAUUUCGAUUUCGUCAAGAGGAAUGACAAGGGUUUCAUCUGAUAGGCACUUUUUCAGAUUAGAAACAUGAAACACGGGGUGCACACCGUUUAGCUCCGGGGGUAGUUGUAGUCUGUAGGCUACCGGACCUAUUCGGGCGACGAUUUCGAAAGGUCCAAUGUACCGUGGGUUUAGCUUUCCUCGUUUUCCGAAACGUAUAACUCCUUUCCAGGGUGAGACCUUCAACAAUACUCGAUCACCGACCUGGAAUUCUAAGGGCUUUCGCCGUUUAUCAGCGUAGCUCUUUUGCCGGUCACGCGAUGCCUGUAAUCGAGCUUUGAUCUGGACAAUCUUUUCUGUGGUCUCGCGAAUGAUUUCCGGUCCUGUCAUUGCCCUAUCCGACGUAUGUGUUCUUGCUAGCUGGGUGUCACCUACUUCAGCCCAACAUAACGGUGAUCUACAUUUACGCCCGUACAGUGCUUCGAAAGGGGCCACCUUAAUGCUCGAAUGAUAACUAUUGUUAUAUGAAAACUCGAUCAACGGUAGGUGGGUAUCCCAAGACUUUCCGAAGUCUAUCACACAUGCACGAAGCAUGUCUUCAAGCGUCUGAAUGGUUCGUUCGCUUUGACCGUCCGUUUGUGGGUGAUACGCGGUGCUCAUAUCAAGAUGAGUUCCCAUGGCCUUGUGGAGCGACUGCCAAAAGCGUGACGUGAACCUACUGUCCCUAUCCGAGAUGAUAGAUUUUGGCACUCCAUGAAGUCUUACAAUCUCUCGUAGGUACAAACGCGUCAGCCUCUCCAUCUUGUAGGACUCUUUGAUUGGCAGGAAAUGGGCAGAUUUCGUCAGUCGGUCGAUUAUUACCCAUAUGGUGUCCAAUCCGUCCGACGUCUUGGGCAGCUUGGUCACGAAGUCCAUAGAAAUCCCCUCCCAUUUCCACUCAGGGAUUGCCGGUUGCUGUAACAAUCCGGAAGGUUUCUGGUAUUCCACUUUUACUUUGGCACACGUAAGGCACUUACUAACAUAAGUUGCGAUUUCCGCCUUCAUGUUAGGCCACCAAUAGUGCUGCUUAAUGUCCAAAUACAUCUUGUCCGAACCAGGAUGAAUGGAGUAUCGUGUCUUGUGGGCUUCCUUCAUAACGGUCUCCCUGAAUCCUCCGAUUUUUGGAACCCAAAUACGGUUCAUGAAGUAGUAUACCCCAUUCUCUUUGACUUCCAGGUUCUUCUCCAUUCCGCGUAAUGCCUCGCUAGUUCUAUUUUCCGCUUUCAUAGCCUCUGCCUGGACUGAUGCAAUUUGAGUGGUCAGAUGAGACUGAAUGGUUAUCGAGUGCGUUUUCGUACGGCGAUUUGUGUAUUCCUUCCGACUUAAUGCGUCAGCUACCACGUUGGCCUUGCCUGGAUGGUACUUGAUCUCGCAUUCGUAGUCGUUUAACAAUUCCACCCAUCUUCGUUGUCUCAUGUUCAGCUCCUUCUGAUUCAAGAUGUGCUGGAGGCUCUUGUGGUCCGUAAAGAUGGUGCACUUUGUACCGUACAGGUAGUGCCUCCAAAUUUUUAGAGCGAAGACCACAGCUCCCAGUUCUAGGUCAUGGGUUGUGUAAUUUACUUCGUGCGCCUUUAGUUGACGGGACGCAUAUGCUAUCACUCUUCCACGUUGCAUGAGAACGCAACCUAAGCCUUGAUUUGACGCGUCACAGUAAACUACAAAAUCUUCCGUUCCUUCAGGUAGAGAUAGUACAGGAGCGCUGCAAAGAGCUUGCUUCAAGGUUCGAAACGCAAUCUCUUGUCGGUCUGUCCACUUGAAUGGCACACUCUUUUGCGUAAGCAAGGUAAGUGGCUUGGCGAUUUUUGAGAAGUUUUGGAUGAAUCUCCUAUAGUAGCCUGCUAGGCCUAAGAACUGACGAAUUUCUGUGGGCGUAGUCGGAGUUGCCCAUCCUUCCACAGCUUUGACCUUAGAGGGAUCCACAUGAAUUCCAUCUUGGCUAACUACGUGACCUAGAAAAUUCACGCUCCGUAGCCAAAACUCACACUUAGAGAGUUUGGCGUAAAGCCUUUCCGAUCGCAGCGUUUCUAGGACUUGUCGGAGAUGUUGGCCAUGCUCCUCUUUGCUUCGAGAAUAGACGAGGAUGUCAUCGAUAAACACAAUGACGAAGUUGUCCAAGAACGGUCGACAGAUUCGGUUCAUUAGGUCCAUAAAUGCGGCAGGUGCAUUUGUUAGACCGAAGGGCAUUACGACGAAUUCAUAAUGUCCAUAGCGGGUUCGGAAAGCGGUUUUAGGAAUAUCUUCUUCUCGGACCUUGAGUUGAUGGUAUCCGGACCGUAGAUCUAUUUUAGAAAAAUAGCUAGCUCCUUGGAGCUGGUCGAAUAGAUCAUCGAUUCGCGGGAGUGGGUAGCGGUUUUUAACAGUGAGUUUAUUCAACUCUCUGUAAUCGAUGCACAUUCUGAAAGAUCCGUCCUUCUUUUUGACAAAGAGCACCGGAGCUCCCCAUGGCGAGUAGCUAGGUCGGAUAAAUCCCUUGUCCAGAAGCUCACUGAGUUGGCUGGACAAUUCCUGCAUUUCAGCAGGUGCCAACCGAUAUGGUGAUUUAGCGAGAGGAGUUGCUCCUGGAACGAGGUCGAUUCGGAACUCAACCUGUCUCUCUGGGGGUACUCCUGGAAGAUCUUCGGGAAACACGUCCGGAAAUUCACACGCUACCGGAAUGUCUUGGAUGUUAGUUUCUUCUUUGGUCUUGUCCACUAUGUGGGCCAAGAACGCUAAGUUGUUCUUUCGCAGAUGUUUUUGUGCUUUGAUGCACGAGAUAAGACGAAGAUUCGUGCUAGGUUUGUCUCCGUAAAUUACUAGGGUUUCGUGAUUCGGGAGACGAAGGCGAACGGCCUUCUCGUGGCACAUAAUCUCAGCAUGGUGGGGGCUUAACCAAUCCAUGCCGAUAAUCACAUCGAAACUCCUAAUUGAUACUGGCAUUAGGUCUAUUCGAAAGACGUGCUGGUUAAGGGUUAGGGUACAUCCGAUGUAGAUCUCCCUAGUGGAUUCGGUUUUCCCAUUGGCCAUUUCCACCGUAUAGGUUUCAUUUAGCUUCUGGGGUUGUUGUUUUAGUAAAUGUUUAAACUUCUCGCUUACGAAACUUCGCUCCGCUCCGGUAUCAAAUAAGAUGCAUGCAUAAGUGUGGUUUAGGAGAAACGUACCGGUCACAACUGCGGGAUCUUGAACUGCAUCACUCUGACCCAUAGUCAGCAUUCUUCCUGUUCCUCUGUUUCCGGAGUUGUUGUUGUUGUUAGGGCAAUCUCGACGGAAAUGUCCCGUCCUUCCACACCCGAAACAGGUGUGGCUAGGCCCUGCGUUGUUGCCGCCGGCAUUGGUGUUGUUGAUGUUGCGGUGAUUGUUGUUGUUGUUCUGGUUGUUUCCCUGACUCUGGUUCUGAGAAGGAUAAGUCCUGCAGAACUUUGCAGUGUGUCCCCUUCGGUUGCAACUGGUGCAAUGGAACUCCCUACAUUCUCCUUGGUGAUGGAAACCGCACUUGUUGCAUUUGGGAUGAGUGCCGGAAUAGGGUCUUGAAGUAUUUGAAGUAGCUGAGGCUGGAGCAUGUGAUGUGACUGGUACCGGCGCAGUGACAGCGUGAACUGCCACCGUUUGCUGCUUUUUAGAGGUCUCGGGACCUUGACGCCCCUUCCUCUUGUUGUUCCAUCCCUUCUUACCAUCGCUCUCCUUCUUCUUCUCAGUCUCUACCGGUUUCUCGCCCUUUUUGUGGUUAUGAUCAUAGAGCCUCUUUGCCAAUCUCUUCGCGCUGUCAAACGUUUCAGGGUUAGCAGCUAUCACAUUCCCUUGAAUGGGGGAUGUCAAUCCCCAAAUGAAUCGUUCAAUCUUCUUCCCCUCUGAUGUGAUCAUACCCGGGCACAACAGAGAUAGUUCGCUGAAUCUCGAUAUGUAAGCAUCGAUGUUCCCAUUCUGCACCGUGAGAUUCCAUAGUUCCUGCUCCAUCUUCUGUAUUUCGCCUCGGGGGCAGUACUCAGCCGUCAACAUCUCUUUCAUCUCUGCCCAGGGAAUAGAGUUGGCGACAGGGAGUGUCAUAGCUUCCACAUGACCAUUCCACCAAGUGAGUGCUUGGUCCACAAAAGUGCAGGCCGCGAACUUCACUUUCAUCUGCUCGGGGCACUCGCAUAUCUCGAAUACCGACUCUACCUUCUCGAUCCAUCGCUUUAGGGCGAUCACUCCUCCGGUACCGUUGAAAGUUCGGGGUUUAGCGUUCGCAAAAUCCUUGUAGGUGCACGUUUUAGUGAGUCCUUGGUUCGUCCCGUUGUUCGAACUUCCGGAUCCUUGCCCGUUACCUCCUCCGUUGUUCCCUCGGUGAAGUUGUGCCAUAGCCGCUGUGACCGCAGCAGACACGGCUGCCUGGAAAGCAGUGGAGUCAACUUCCGGCGGGGUUGGUUCGGGAUUUCCGCGAGUAGCUGGGCGAGGCAUCUUUCUGUCAUGAAACGGAAAGAUGUUGAGUGUACGUGGUUUCGGUGAGGUUAUGAUCCUACUAACUAGGUGUAUGGUACGAACCUAAGCAUUACUAUCAUCAAGCAUACAAUCAUAACGCCUCAACAUAUAACAACUGAGAAUAUCAUAGCAAAACACACAAAAGUUUAUUAAUAUUAUCCGCAUUUAGUACAAGAAAAUUUGCUCGUAGGAGCAUACAUAAGUAACACUAAUCCGACAGCAUAACGGCUCCAUGAGUAGUGUAGUCACUUAAACAUAGAGCCGGAGUACAUAACAUAGUUACUAAUAUCCUACUACGAUAGGUCUAUCCCUAACCGCGAUGAGCUGCGUCAGGAGGUGGUGCCGAAGUCAUAUGCCGAAAUGUUGCGCCAGUAGCUGCGCCAUCUCUGCCAUGUCUCCUAUAACUUCAUCCCUCUCGUGCUCUGCUCUCACUGCCCGAGCUUCCAUAGCAUACAGCUGUUGUCGCAGUGCGGCGAUCUCAGCUUCGAGGGAACGGUUCUCCCUUGGGGGGUUCACUGGUGGAGCGGGGUGAUCUGGUUGUGCCUCGUCCUCGCAUGGUGGGAUGGGGUCCUGGCCCCCGACCUGACCCUCCUCGUCGUCAUCGUCGACCUCUCCAAAUUCGUAGUCGGUGUCUAUAUAUUCGUCGGGUUCGACGUCGUGUGCUUCUCCUGGAUGCUCUCCCGGCUCAUCCACCAGCAUCCCGUGAGCUACUAAGGCCUGAUGAAACUGGAUACCCGGCUGCUCCUCCUCAGGCUCCUCCUCCUCCUCUAGCCACCCGUUGUUUCCCUGAUUAGGGAAGUAGGGGUCUCCAGGGUGAUGAAAACCAGCCAUGCUGUCUGCGCGAGUACGUAAUUAUGCUACAUUAUUCCUAGGGUACUAUGACUAUUACACAGACUAAGCAAAUAUUCUCUUUUUGGGUGAUAUAGGGUAAAAUUUUUAGGUUCCCUGGCUAUUCCGAUCUCAUCAAGACAUGUGUUAGUUUUACCUUGGAGAGAAUGUAGUUGAUCAGGCUACAUUCACUCCUUGGUAUCACUAAGAACAGUCCCGAAUUAACCGAGAUACCAGUAUUAUGGUGUUUGAUUCAGCGUUAGGUCCUUACUCCUAAUGCAAGCAAGUGUAUUUUAUUCAUUUGUUUUGUUCAGAGUUAUGUUAGUCCCUCUUUUUGGUUUAUAGUUGCAUAUCAAUGUAUGGCUCGACAUGCUAGUUCACUAUAAACAAAGCUCUGAUACCAACCUGUCACACCCCCGAACCAGACGGCGGAAACGUCCGGGGGCUGUCGUGACUCAAUUGAAUACCAUAACAUUGAAUAUAUAUGAAACAAAACAACAUUCGUCACCAUUCAUCAACAUAGUACAACCAGUAGUGUUUACAUGUCAUACAUUGUUUAAGACAUUACAUUUCCAAAAAUUAAUGUUGUUUGGUUCAUUCAAAAAUAAACUGCAACCGUCACUGAGUAUGAUUUCCCUUGAUUCACUGGUUCCCUGAGAAUACAAGUAUUUUGAAAAACGUCAACAUAUGAAAUGUUGGUGAGUUCAUAAGUAGUGUUUGAAAUCGAAUGUUUAUAUUGUUUGAAAAACCACCAGAAAAUCCGAUAUUUUCUGAAAAGAAAAGCUUUCAAAAACGUUUGUGAAGAUCCAUAGGUAUGCUUGUUUGUUUCUAUACUUGCAAAAAUUGUUCAUUUAAGAUGUAUGCGUUUAAAAUCUGUAUGUGAUAAAAACCCUAGGGAAACCCGAUGUUCCCCUAGUUCUUUUGAAAUCCAUUGAGUUGCGUUGAAACCAUUACAAAAAUAGUAGUAUCGGUCCCAAGCGACGUUGGAAGGUUCUCGAGCAUUGAUUAUUUACUACAAACCCGCAUUACACAAAUGCCCGGUUUAUAGAUAUACCAACGAUUCCCGAAGGCGUCGUCAGUACUAAUCACGUUAUCCAAUCGCCCGGACUAUGAGUGGUCCCACAUCCGAAGAGAAAGAGGUCACGAAGACCCCGGUAACUCUAUUAACCGGCUGGGGAAAAAUGUGUGCGAGGGGUCCCCGACCCGCCUCGUAAAAUGUGUAGACUUUUCUAGCAAUACCAUGGCCCUUGGGGUCCAAUGAUACAAGCCAUUGAAAGUCACCCUACGUUGUGCCAAGUCGGUAAAACUCAACACUUCGUAGAAAAAAAAUGUCUUCGGGCCUUAAGAUCAGGUCAUUGGGCUAGCUAGGCCCAACAAACAAGAUUUUACACUUUUGGGGCCCGAAGAUGGUGCGUAGACGUCUGUGCACACUCGUAUGUAUGUGUAUUACCAAUCGUUAUUUGUAUGUAUCAAAGAGUUAGUAGUUGUAGAUUUCCAUUGGCUCGAGACCGAGCCAAUUCGUUUAGCAACGACUUUUGGUAUUGUAAUGAGUUGUAUUUCGUUGGUAGUUGAGGUAUCAUUAUUUGAUCACAUUGUACAUAAUGAAUCAGCCUUGAAAUAUUUCUGUUUUCAGCCCCUCAUUAUUUGUAAAAUUUACAUUUUCAACCCUUUUAUUUAAAUAUUUCCCGGUUUGGUCCUUAAACUAUUUUUCUUGACAUUUUAACACCAAAAAUUAUUGAAAUUAAUAUUUUCCAGCAUAUUUUUCAAAGAAAACAGUUUAAGUCCCUGAAAAUGCAGUUUUUCUCGGUUUUAGCCCAUCUUUUCGCAAUUUUGACAAUUUUGGCCCAAAAUGGAAAAUUUUUGCAACUUUGGUCCUUUUUAAAUUUAAAAAGCAUUUUAAACCUUUGAAAAGGGUUUGGGACACUUAUAGUCCACUGUUUUACAGAAAUUCACAGUUUUGGCCCUUCAAAACAGAAAAAUUCGCAUAAUGGGCCUUAUUGGGCCGAAAUUUACAUUUUUAGCCCAAUAGGCUUGAAAUUUAUGUUUUUAAUCCACCAAUUGAAUAGAAUUCCAGAAAUAGCUUUAUUGAAACUGUUUUGACACAUUUCAACCAUCAGAAUCUGUAAAAUGUCAUUUUGGGCCCUUAAUUUUGUAUUUUUCACAUUUUUGGCCCAAAAUGUGUGUUUUUAGCUUAAAGAAAAUUGUUGCUAACCACUUGGCUAUUUAUCUAGUAUCACUUAUUAUGUAGGAACAUAUUUGAAGCUAAUAUCAUAAAACAUGAGUUAUAUCUCGGUUUUGAGGGGUUUAAUGGCUAGAUCCAACAUUAAAACACAUAUAAGCAUACAUAUAAGCAUGGAAAUCAUACAAGGCAUACAAAUACAUAUAGAUCUACACUUUCACUUGUAUUCCCCCCCACAAAAACUCUUAAAAACAGAAAAUAGGGGUAUGAAUCUCACCUUGAGUGGGUAGUUUCGGUUCUUGAAGAAAAAUUGGAAGAAAUGAAGUGAUUUUUGGCCCUUGCACUCCUUGAUGAACUUUUCGAGAUUAUGGGGUUUCUAGAGUGCAAGAUCACGGUUUUUACAUGGAUUAGGAAGAGAUUUUGAUAACAAAAGAAUUUAAACCAUAGAUCUAUGCAUAAUCUUACCUUAGAUGAUGAUUUACUUGCAAAAUCCUCUUGGAAAGUCCCUAAAUUUCGAGAUUUUUGGAGAGGGGAGGGAAGGAGAGUUCUUUGAGUGUUCUAGAGAAAAAGUUGAGAUAUUUUGGUGUGUGUGAUGAUGCUUGGCCGAGAGCAAGAAGGGAGGAGAGAAAGAAGUGACUCUUGAAGUGAUACAUGCAUGGAGGUAUGUGAUUUGUGCCUAGAAAUCCAUUAGGUAAUAGUGAGGUGGCAACCAAAGUCAACCUCCCUUGGAUUUGGGCCUUGGGCCGAGAAUAUGAAGGGGAAAGAGGAAAAAUUUGGGCUUUUGCCCCUAAGCCCAACAUUAGAGGUAGUUUAGGGUAUUUAUUGGACUUAUAAAAUAAAAUUGUGAUUUUUGUGCUUUAUUAAGCUAGGUUAGGUUUAAUUAUGGAUCAAAACUUGUGUUUUAUUUCCUUCUAGGUUCUACCUAGCCCAAAAUAUUGAAAUAAACGAAUGUGGGUCCAAUUAGAGCCCAAUUAGGGUUCUAAGCCCAUGAUAGUCUAAUUGGAAGCUUAUUGGUUCAUUUGGAUCCAAUAAGGAAGUCUUAGUCCAAAGUGGACUUAACCAAAACUUCUAGGGUCUCCAAUUGUUUGAUGACUAUCUAUAGUACUUGUAUCUUGUAUUUGAUUAAAGUUUCUGAUUCACAUUAACUUGAAUGUAUAGAUUACAUAGCUUAAAAUUUACAGUUGUGACAGCUUCAGUCCGAUGCAGUUUCCGGACUUUGGUCCGAUGGAGAGGGCAAGGCCCUGGUUAGUUCCGGACUUCAGUCCAAUGCCGUUUCCGGACUUCGGUCCGAUGCAGUGGGCAAGGCCCAAGAUGUGUUUAUAUGUUAUUGUAUGGUAUGUGAUAGUUUGGGGGAACUCACUAAGCUUCGUGCUUACAGUUUUCAGUUUUGGUUUCAGGUACUUCCGCAUUGCACACACUACAACUUCAGUUUUAUUCCUGGGAGUUUUUCUUAGUUAUGAUGUGAUACAGUUCCGAUACAGUUUGUGAUACGACAUUUUAUUAUGGUUUGAAAUAUUUAACGUAUGGGUUUUAUAUUAUGACAUUCAGUAUAUGAUUUUAGUAUUAUUAAACAAAAAUUUUUGGGACGUAUUUUUGGGUCGUUACAAGUUGGUAUCAGAGCCUUGGUUUGAGGGAUUCGGAUACACUUUCGGGUGUGUCUUGAUGGGUUUUGGCCAUAUGAACAUUCCUAUGUGCACAUGCAAACCCUAAUGCUUGGAUCUAGGUUUCUCUAAUUAAACAUGCUUUCUAUCCAAGACUUCUAAUGACUAAUUAGGUAUAAGAACAAUACAAAAUCAGAUCUAGAAGCUUACCUUUGAAUCUCUUGUUUGAUCUUGUUGUCUUGGAGCUCUAGAGUCACAAUUGUCACUCCUCUAAUGGCUUACAAACACCAACUAGCAAGGAGGAUGAUUUGAGAGAGAGGUUGGAGGAAGAAAUCGGCCAGAGUAUCUUUACUAUGUUGGAGGUGCCGAUUUCCCUUACCCAAGGGGUCUAUUUAUACUUGUAAGGCUCUUAGGGUUUCACCCUUAAACCCUAAUUGGAUAACUUAAACUUUAAGUAAUCCUAAUCCCUAUCUAAGAUAGCCUUGGACGAUUUUAGGCUUAUCCUAGCCCUAGAAAUCGUCCAUACCCUAUCCCAUAAGGAUUUACAGCCCAAAGUGUAACUAUCAGACAAUUGACAGUUUAUACCCUCUUAUUUAAUUAAUCUCUUUAAGUCACCAAAUUAAUACUAAUCAAUCUAUGACUUAUAUUAAUUAAAUAACUAUAUUAUUAUUCCUUAUAUUAUUCUCAUAAUAUAUUAAUAAUAUCUAUUCUCUCAUAAUAAAUCAUCCUGUCAAGUUGCUAUGGUGAAGGCAACCCAAAAGGACCAUGCACAAUCGGGUCAAAUACUUGCAUAAUAUAGUUGCAGCCUUAGACACUAUUCCAACAUGUCUGAACUCAAACUAAGGAAAUGGUAAAAGAUUUUUAAAAGAAAAACAUUUUUGAAAAAGAACUUAGAAAUAAAAGAGUUUUGAUAAGAGAAAAGGGUGUGGUGCAUGUGAUCAGCCGAGCUCAAGUAAGUACUCCCAAAUUACCCAUACAAGUUUAUAUUAUGAUUAUCUGCUUCAGUUUCAGUAGAACAACAUGCUAGUAUAGGACUAAGGAUCUAUGAGGAUGUCUUAUGUGCCUACUUUAUGUGUUUCAGCUUUAUGAGAAUUGCAUGCUAGUAUUUGAGUAGACAGCAGUAGGAUAGCCUGAUUAGGUUAUGCCUGGUAAUAUGAGCUUAGCAUUGUAUGCUAGUACAAUUUCUCAUUAUGAGGAUAGAAUUGUUUGAGUAGUUUCCUGUGUCCGAAUGCUACUUGCUUUGUGCUUUGUGGGACUCUGAGUAAUGGGAGUUAGCCAUUAGGUGAAUACGUCACAUCACAUGUGAUCAGGGUUGAAUAAUCUCAGAGUGUUGGAUUUGGCCCUACUGCACAGCUCUCGUUUGAGUCUAACCGUUAUAGGGAUGACUCUUUUACUCGAAGGAUUAUCCGAGCCUCAUCACAUGUGAUGGUAUUCAGGUGAUGACUAAUUGGCAUUACAAGGAGGCCUGCAGCGACUGAUGACUGGUUUUGGUUGAGUCAGAGAUUUCCCUAGUGCAAGCCUAGGAUGAGAGUAGCAGAGAUUAGUAGCAAUGUUAGUGGCUUGGUGGAAUCAAGGCGGUCCUUGAGGAAGGUACAGGUAGAUGUGGAAGGUAGUAGGGCCCCAUACUACUGGAAGCAGAGGAUCUGUACUUGAAUCGAGGAAGGCUGAGAUGAGACCGGAAAGCCUGUAGUAGUAGUGAUCCCUCGAGAUAAAUCAGUAUUUCUAACGUUUAUCAUGAUGUGUUUUUAGAAUGGUGGUUUUACGCCUUAGACCAGCAGGCGGCAGUUCAGGUGCCGGGGAGGGAUCAACAUCAAGCUCGGGGGCCGAGCAGUUGGAUGAGCAGACUAGAGAGUUCUUCACUUCAGAAGUUACUUGUAUCAUUCUCGAGCAGACUCCAGUGAUCUUCUGUUCGAUCAAGGAGGGUAUACUAGAGUUGAUGGAGGAGAAACUAAGCACAUUCGUGCUGAGGUGGCGGCCAUGAUGGGGUCGCGCACACAUACGUUCAAGGAGUUACGGGCAUGUGGGGCUCCAGACUAUCACAGGGCAUGUAUAAUAAUUUAACCGUUCAUGUUAGAAAAAAUUAUUUAAAACAUGAAGAAGAAGAUGAUGCAUGUAAUCAAUGCAGGUACGGAAAUAUAAGCAUAUUGAUUGCAAACUCAUUUCCUAAUAAUAAAUAAAUUUAGAAGUACAAUUAUGUUUUCAUUUUCUCACAUUGAGGGGGUAAUGGGUUAUAUAGUCCAAUGAUAUUUGUUUUCUCUUCAUAAAUCAUGGCACUAUAAUAAUUUUGAAUGGGGCCAUAUACAGAAAACCAUUAUAUUUUAGUCAUUUUUUUCUGUUCAACAUAUUUUCAUUUACUUUCUUAUUAUAGCAUCAUACUUUCAUUUCUUCCAGUUAUAGCAUCAUACUUUGAAAAAUAUACCCAAUUACACAUGGCUACAAUGGCUUGAUAAGAAAAGUUGAAAGUAGAAUGCUAUAAAUGGGUGGAUUUUGAAAGUACCUAUAUGCUGGUCUUGGGUCAUUUAUUAAAGGCUAAAAUGCUAGAAAUAGCAAUUUACUUUCAUCGAUUUGCUUAUCAGAGCAUCAUACUUUCUCUUUUUCCUANUGAUUAAUUGCUAAUCAAAGUCUGUUCAUUUUCAAGUUUUAAUUUGAAUAAAUGCUAAUUAGUUGUGUUAAUUAGCACCUUGGCAGUUUUGUUUUUUCUUGUUUCUAUUUCCUUUUUUUCCCAGCUGUUCAUGAUUGAUUUAGUAUACCUUUUCUUUCAUCCACCAUCUACUUGUUCUCUCUUGCCAACAAUAUAAAGCAUAGCAUACAACUGAUUUCUUGUUUUUAGUUAUUUGGUUAUAUAUAACAAGGGUAUUUUGGUCAUUUGACAAACCUUCUUCCUUAAUGGAGUGUCAAACACCAUGAUCUGAUUUCUCUUAAUUCAUUUUUUCACCAUAAAAUCCAACAUUAACUUUGAAUCUUUCACAUGUAGGCCCAGAUUUUUUGGCCUAGGUAGUCUUCUAUCCUUAUGCUGAUUCUGUGUCUUUCAGAAGUAUGCUUCUUAUGAUCCUUCCACUCGCUUCAUGUCGUUGAUUCUGUCUGUCACCACCAGAACCUCAUAAAAGUUUCUGCUGACGUGUCACACUAGUGUUGACCUGGAAUUUGUGAAAAGUCCAAUGCCAUAUAUUUUCUCUUCAUAAAUCAUGGCACUCUACUUCUGCUUGCCUUAUGAAAUCCACCCAAGUUUGGAGAAAUAUUCUAUGCUGACCACUUUGACCUACUAUAGCAGGUUAAAGUGGUCACAAUAGAAAAUUUUGUCAAAGUUGAGUGACUUUAGUGAAAUUAAGAGGACUAAACUUUGACAACCUUUUCAAUUAUGACCCACUUUAACCUGCUAUAGUAGGUCAAAUUUGUCGAUAUAGAAAGAAAUUUCAAACUUGGGUAGGUUUGAUGAGCUAAAACUGAAAUGGAAUUGUUAAACUGCAAAAAAAUGGCCGAGAUAUUGUGAUUUUUCUAUAUAUUGCCCUUUUGUAGUUCAACUUACAUUGUCGACGUUACUGAACUACCUUAGUUUUGGGAAGCACUUGUGCAUGUACAUAGCAAAUAGCUAAGCUUUGUUAAUUUAAAUAGAUCCAUUGAUUUUUCAUCUGUUGUUGUAGUGUUCUCAAGUAGGCGUUGCUUCUUGGUUCUUAUGCCAAUACUCCAAAAUGAUUUAUAUAAUUGAGUGUCCUGCCCUAUCAAGAGUGUUUCCAUCCAAUGUAGUGGGACAACUGAAUAAGCUUGAAGAGUUGAUAAUAGAAGAAUGUAAGUCAAUGGUGGAGAUAUUUGAAAGUAAAGAAAUAAACAAAGAUGGUGUUGAUAGUACUACGAAUGUUGGUGAUGGAAGUGAUGAUACUUGUACUGCAAUCACCCUCCCAAGGUCGACCAAUAUGACUCUGCUUCAAUUGCCCAACCUAACAAUAUUGUAUAUAUAUAAAUGUGAAGUAUUGGAAUAUAUAUUCACAAGUUCCACACUUGAAAGCCUCAAGCAACUCAAAGAACUGACUGUAAAACAAUGCAAGGCAAUGAAAGUGAUUGUGAAGGAAGACGGAGAUUUACCAGAACUCAAGGGUUUCUUCCCUCGUCUCAUGUCCCUUUUGCUGGCUGAUUUACCAGAUCUCAAGGGUUUCUUCUUGGGGGGUUUCAGGUCGGUUCAUAUAUAACCACUUCCCAUUUUUUGUAUGUAUAAAAAGUUACGAAAAUAUGCAAUUUUUUUUUAAUAUAAGUUAAUAUUUCAUUCCUAAGAUAUUAAGUGGUCUCUUAUGUUAUAAAAGAUGUUAUAUUCACUAAUUCAUAAGUUAGCAAUUUAAUAUUUUAAUCAAGUUAGAUGAAGUAAAGACAAAAGGCCCAAUUGACGCAUUCACUGAGGGUGGUUUUUUCCAUGUCCAAAGAUUUUUGAACAUAUACUAUACUAGUUUCCGUUUGAUCAGAAUCAGAUCAACAACCCCUUCUUCUUUACAGUGUCCCUAUUGUAACCACAAAAAUCAACAAAUACAGGGACCAAAUUUGCAGUUUUCGCUAAAACGUAUUUUAAUUUGACAAAAAAAUUGAUCGGUUUGUAGAAAAACAAAGUAUUCAAUUAAAGGAAUAACAAAAUAAGCACCUAAGAAAAAGUGCUUCUAAAAUUUACAAAAUAUUUACGUUCCUUAAAAAUACAAGACUUAAGAAUUUAUAUCAAAUAUAUGAACAUAAAAAAUUAUUUUCUUGUGUAUUACAAAUGAUACUUUUCAAGUUCAUUCUUAUUCAAAUCAUUUGUAAAUUUCAUAGAAUGUGAUCGUUUGGUACCUGACAUAAAUCAUUAAUUAGGAACUUAGAACUAACAUCUUCAUUCGGUUAAGAAAAGAAAACACAAAAUAGAUGGAAAUUAAAGCAUUGCCUUAUUUUACAUAUUUUCACUCAUAUCUGUUAACAAAUAGAUUUUUGUAUGGAAGUAUAUAUUGUAAUUAAAUCAUUUAUAUCGUUUCAUCCAAUUUAAUUCAGUUAUCUAACAUAUUUUACAAAUAUUGUGAUGUUAGUUGUUACUUAAUCAAGUUCUUUUCUCUCUCAUCUUUUACAAGCUAAACAUUUUUUUAGCGUUUAUUUCCUAAAAUUGACGAAAAUAGUAUAACUAAGAUGAUUCUAAAAGUGUAAGUAUAUCAUUUGUUGUAUUUGACAAUGCAAUAAAAAAUACAAUAACAUAAUUAUCUUUUUUCCUAAAAAAAUUGGAUGUAAAUAUCCGGUACAUGAAAAAUUACCCUUUUUGAAGUAGCCAAAACACUUAAAAGAGGUGACUUUGGGUGGAUUAAAUAAUUUGAAGCAUAUGUGGAAGAGCAAUCGGUGGAUAGUGUUGAACUUUCCAAACCUUACAAAGGUGUCGAUUUUUAGAUGUGACCUUCUUGGGCACGUGUUCACUUGUUGCAUGGUUGGUAGUCUAUUGCAUCUCCAAGAGCUAAAAAUAAGUUACUGCCAGAGUAUGAAUGUGAUUGUGAAGCAAGUUGAAGAUUCCGAGACCAGACCGACUACUGAGGUUGUGUUCCCUUGUCUGAAAUCCAUAAGACUUCACAACCUUCCAAAUCUCAUGGCAUUUUUCCUGGGGAAGGAGGCUUUUAAAUGGCCAUUAUUAGAUACUUUGGAAAUCAAAAAUUGUCCAAAAAUAACAGUUUUCACAAAUGGGCAAUCAACUACUCCAGAGCUGAAGUUAAUAGAUACAACUUUUGGAUUGUGUCAUGCAACGGAAGACCCAAACUCUUUUAUAAAGACCAAACAACAAGAGGUACGUGGUGUCUCCUUUGGUUAUUAUUAACAGAUUAAUAUGUUUGAUCGAACAAAACGUUUACUUUACUCUCGAAUUUACAACUUGUUGUAAUCUCCUAAAGGGAUGGGAGUUCUAGAGCAACAUCAAAUUUACACGUGUGGUUUGGUUCGUUUUGAAGUUAGCUAUAUAGCACAGGUAAGAUUACAUCGUACACUUAUUUCCUUCUUCCCAAUCAUGUACAUGUUUCUCCACCUUAGUUAUCUGAUCAUUGAAUUGACUUUUUGUCACAGUUGCUUGCUUACUACUCUUUCAUUUCGGGUUAUUGAACUUCUAUUUUCAAGUAAUCUUAUCUGUGAUGUGUCCACUUCUUGUAUUUAAUUAAGCUGUGACCAACUUAGCAAUAAUUACACAAGUUUUUAUUAAUUGGUCUGUACAUGUUCCACUAUUUUAAAUAGUAAAUAAAUUCAGUGGUUGAAGGUGCAUAGAAUGAUAAUCCAUCAUACAUGAAACUUUCUUAGCUCACACCAGGUAAGAAAGAAAAAAAAAUGAAGCUAAUUUGCUAGAACAUAAAACUUCUCUUAAUUCGACAGAUCUGUGCUCUUAAUUUUUAUGAACGCCCGGUGUUUGAUAAAAUUCUUCAAUGAAAAAAGACCCAUAAACUUUUGGCUCCUUUUUUAAGUCAAGUGUAUUAAUGUUUGUUUUGUAUAUGAGCACUUAAAUUUUGAGGAAGCGACUCCAUUUCUCUCUUGUAAGUUGAGUGUGUCAGUGUCACCCAUAUAAAAGCUUUGUUUUUCAAUCUCUGAAAUAAAAAGAAUAAAAUUUGGUUACAAAUAUCUUAUGUUCAGUGCCGGUUUCCAUCGCCAGCUUCAAUGAAUCUAUCUCAUGAUGAUUUUGAAUUAACAAUUGUUCACUAAACCUAGAUAAGUUACAAUUAUGCCCAUGACUAUGAGCCAUCCAUUGAUUAUUUUAAACCUAUUGAGAAACAGAACACUUAUGCAUAUUAUCUGAUUUUUGAUGCAUCUGAGGUUUAACAUUUUUUUUUAUAAUCAAAUUUAGGUUGAUAUUGGAGUUGCCAUUUAUAAUCAAAUUUAGUUUGAUAUUGGUUGGUUGUUUGUGGAAUUCAUAUGUUUAUGGAAUUCAGUGUUAAAAGUAUAAAUCAACAAAAAUAGAGAAAAUCACGCUCAGAUUCUGAAAAUGCCACUUAAGUAGAAAUUAUUUGAAGAAAAAACAUUAUAUUUUCAUUCAUUGUUUAAUUUAUCUCUUUGUGCAUGUUUUUGUUGACAUACCAUUGUACCAUAUGAUAACAUGAAUUUUUUUUUAUGUGGUGGCUGGUUUAGUUGGAUUAAAAGACAUUACCUGUUAAGUUGAUUUUAUGUGGUGGCGGGCUUAGUUAGAAAUAUUUUAUGAAAAACACAUUAUAUUUCCAUUUCUUCAGCAUCUUCAAACCUUUGGUCAUUUCUUUGAAGUUGCAUAAUGAUCAAUGUUGCAUACUUUAUGUCAGUCGUAUAAAUUUGUAUUGAAAGUGAAACACUGUUGCAGAAUUUGUCUAAAAAAAAAAUUGGUGCAUAAACUGGUCCUAGAAUGAAACAUAGUUGAAUAAUGCAUAUUAUGUCUAAAAAAAUAUUUUGUUGCAUAAAUUGACUAACAUGUGCAAUCAAUGUACGUGGCUUAAACAUGUUAAACCAUAUGGUUAAAAAUGUAAUUCAUUCACUUUUCUUAGAAGCAUAUGGUUCCUAGUACAAAUAGAAUCCUAAUAGACAGAUGAAAAUAAAAUCAUAUUCCUAACCAUCAAACGGCUCCUAGGUGAUUACUUCUUCCCUUUGCUCGACUCAAACGGCUCUAGCUUCGGCCGCAAAGAGUUGACGUUUGAGAUUGGCUAUUUCUUUCUCAAGAGAGUGUAUGUAGUCUGUAUCACUUUCCUCAAUAGUGUAUGAGUCUGAUAGGGCUUCCGAUGGGUGGGGCUUACUAGGUGUAUCCUUAACGUCCUUUCCUUCAUCUGACUCCUGGUUAGAUUCGUCAUAUUUGUAAUCAGUUACCACGUACUCUUCCGGUUCCACUCUGGGUCCCACCUCCCAUUGCAGGGCCUCCUUCAGGGUUUUCUUCAGGAUUGUCAUCUAGACCCACAUCAAUCUCCCUAUAGACUACUAGAGCUUGAUAGUAGGGGUCGUCUUGCUGCAUUCCUGCCAUAUUGCCCGCAUGGGAAGUAUAGGUGUGAAAAGUGUGUGCAUUGGGGUGUAUAAGGAUAAUAUUCUUAAAAUAUUCCUACAAUGUUUAUUUUUCUUAAGUUUAGUUCCUCUAACCUAUUUGGAUAGUUAGAUGGUAAGCUUUCGGUUUAUUGACCAUCACGAUUAUUCCCAAACAUAUGUUGAUCGUACUUUGAAUGAAUGUAGUUAAUCAGGCUACAUUGAUCCCCAAUGCGAUUACAUAACUGCCCAUGUUAAAUCGCAAUGUUCAAAUCCCCCAAAGACUUUUAUUGUUUAGUAUCAUGCUAUUAUUCUAAAACACGCACAUAGGUAAGUAUUUUAUUUACUCUGUUCAGAGUUAUUUAGCCCCAUUAUGUUUAUAGUUGCAUAUCAUGUAUGCUUAGAUAUGUUAGUUCACUAUAAACAAAGCUCUGAUACCAACCUGUCACACCCCUGAACCAGACGACGGAAACGUCCGGGGGUCGUGUGACUUGAAUUGAAAUAUUAUCACAAUGAAUAUACAAGAAACAUAACAUAAACAUGACCAUGCAGUAAUACAUUACAACUGACCUUGUUCACAUCAAGUACAUUGUUUACAUUACAAUAUCACAGAGCAUAAAUUGUUUAACGAUUGACAUUUGCACAAAAGAAAUUUCAGAAACACGCUUGAUGAUUCUUCAUUCUAACGGUUACCUGAGAAUACAAGUUAUUUUGAAAACGGUCAACAUAUAUAAUGUUGGUGAGUUCAUAAACAUGUUUGAUAUAAAAAUAGUUUGUAUUUUUUGUAAAACCCAGAAAAUCUGAUAUUUCCUGUAACAAAACUGUUUACGAAAAAGAUGUGAUGAUCUCAUAAGUGUAUAUGUAUGUGAUUUCAAAACAUGUAAAAAUGAAUGUCUUUCAUAAUUGUUCCUUGUAUUGUACUUGUAUGUAGAAGUGAAUAAUGUCGUUCCCCGGAAAACCCGAUGUUUCCCAAUUUAAAUAGUAUGAUAGUUUUGUAUUAUUGUAUAAAUCACUUUGCAUCGUCACAGUGUAUGAAUAUGAUUUCCCAUGAGUACUUAAAUGGUAAUGGAUCUCUAUGUGAGUCGUUAUAACCAUACAUAAUAGUGACUAAUUCGUCUGUCUUGGCAUUUUUCCUAACGCCGGGUUUGAUCAAGAUUUUGUCACCCUAGACUGGCCGAGUCUAACUGUAGCGAACAACUUAGGUGUGGAGGAGUCACCCCUGUAUAGAUCUAUAGACAAACUCUCGCUCUCCCUCCAGAAGACUCUGAUUACAGGCUACGACCGACUCUUAUUGGUGCAACCCGUUAUUUCUCACUAAAUCCCAUGAAAUUGAAUAACCUUGUUUUACAAUCCGAAUGAUGUUUACGUGAAUAUGAAGUAAGCCUAACAGUCAUGAAAGAGGACAACGGUGGCCCACUAAUCAUGUAUGUUAUUAUAGGUUGUCGAGUAUGCGACGGACAUGUUAGCUCAUCAUGCAUAUGAUUGAUUUGGACCAUACUAGCAAUGCAACUGGGCCAUUAAGGCCCAAUAACAUGUAAAAGCCAUUGAUGGUCCAUUAGGCAUGUAAUUGGGUCACUGGAAUCCCAAUAAACAUGUAUUAUUUAUGUUGUUUACCCAUUUUGUAUGUUAAUAGUGUCGUAAGAUUUGUUUCACACGAAGCUUUUAAUCGUAAAGUUAUAACAUUCGUCAAUCGUUUUAUAACAAUAUUCUAAAUUUAUAAAAGCAUGCAUUUUUAAAUCCAUAAGAUAUAAAAUUUUAUAUUUUUGGCUCAAUUGUUUUAAUAAGAGCAUAUUUGACCCGAAAAUAUUUGUUUGACCAAUUCAGCUCAAUUUUCACAUAAUAUUACGAUUUCAGCCCUUUUUAACAAAAAUGACAUUUUUAGUCAUUUUUAAUGAAAAAUGACAUUUUAGGUUCUUAAAUUAUUUUUCUUGACAUUUUCGACCCAAAAACUAAUUAAAUAGUAAUUUCAGACCAGAAUAUAAUCACUGGGCAGUUUCAGCCCCUUAUUUGGAAAAUUUUGCAUUUAUGGUCCAAAUUUCCGCAAAUUUCACAAUCUUGGCCCAAAAUCCAAAAACUUUGCAUUUUUAGUCCAAUUUGGCAAUAAAAUCAUUUUCAACCCCCUGAAAUUUAGUUAUUUAUGUUUUAGACUCAUACUUUUAUGAAUUUACAAUUUCAGUCCCUAAAACUCUUCAUUUUCGCAAGUUUGGGCCCAAAGAUCCGUGAGGCCCAAAUAUAAGCCCAUUAAGUAGAAUUUUAUAUUUUUGGUCCUUUGAAAAGUAUUAUUUUCAUAAAAAUCAGCUUUUAAAUAAAUAAAUACUUUAUAACCCUCAUAAAACCAAAAAUUAUCAACUUUCAACCCAAUCUUUAUUAUUUUUGCAAAAAUGACACUUGUAAAGAUCUUUGGCUUUGUUUUUCACUUAUUAAACUUAAGGACUCUUAGAUCUAUGAUGUAUGUUGUUUAUUAUUUUUUGUUUAUGAAUAUUUCACAUUUUAGCUAUAGAUCCCAAAAUAUCUUAAGUAUUAACACAUUAUCACAACAAAAACCAAAGAAAUCAAAUAUAACAUGCAAACACACAUAGAUCAACACAUAACACUUGUAGUCUCCCCCCAAAAACAAGUAAAAACUGAAAACAAUGGGGUAUGAACUCACCUUGCUUAGUUUCUCACGGUUUUGAAGAAGAAAUGGAAGAGGUUGAUGUGAUUUUCGGCCCUAGUAAGCUUCUUGAGAGGACUUUGGUUUAGAUGGAUUCUAAGGAGUAGAUCACGAAUUUUGCAUGAAUUAGGAGGAGAUAUUUUGAUGUAAUAAAGAAACUAAGCCAUGGAUCUAAGUAACAACUUAGCAAGGAUGAUGAUUUUUAUGGAAAAACCUUCUUGAAAUGCCCUAGAUCUCGAAAUUUUUGAGAGGAAAUGAGGGGUUGUUGUUUUGAGUGUUUGAGAGAAAAUUCAAGUGAGGUGUGUGUGUGUUUUUCUUGUCUCUCGGCCGAAGGAAAGAAAAAGGGAAGAGGGAAAGAAAGAAUGGCAUGGAAACAUGAGAUCAUGCAUAGUUACAUGUUGUGUAAUAUGCUUAGAUGACCACUAAACAAUAAUGAGGUGGCUAGCACUCAUUAAUCUUCUUAGUUUCUCCUUUUUUGUAUUGGGCCGAAAUGGGCUAAAGAAAGAGGAAAGGAAUCACUUUGGCCCAUUCUUGGUCUUGCUCGAAAGUGUGAAGUCUCUAUACAAGUUUUCGGCCCAUUGGGCCUUUAGGGUAGUUCAUGGCCCAAUGAAAUCCAAUUAGAGAGGGUUUACGGUCCAAUAAGGAAUUUAAUUCACUUAUGGCCCAAUAAGGCCCAUUAGUGUAAAAUGAUCCAUUUUAGACCCAUAAGGCCCAAAAGGUUAAGUUUCAUGAAAGUGGGUCCAAUUAGGGCCUAUUUAAGGGUUCCAAGCCCAAAGUAGUCAAAUUGGAAGCUUAUUGGUCCAUUAGGCCCAAUAAGGAAAUCCUAGUCCAUAAUGGACUUAGGUCGUGAUUCUUAGGGUUUUCAAACCCUAACUUGACUUUGUAAUGUUUUGCAUGAUGUUUGGGCUUUAUAGUUGGAUUUUUAUGAAAGUUUGUUGUUAUUGAAUAACAUCAUAUGCAUAUCAAGUUAUGGUUACAAUUUGUUGUCAUUGAUAUUGUUUACAAAAGUAUAGAAUUUCCUAGCAAAUUUGCUAGUUGUGACAGAUACGACCCGUAUGGGUCGAUUUGGUCAAGUCUACCGACGCAGGAGAUAAGUUCUAGAUUGAUGUGGGAAUAAGUUUUAAUAUUCCUUUAGGAUUCAAGUUUCCUUUUUUACAGUUUCUUUUUAUUAAUGUAUUAGUUUUGGAUAUUGAUUAGGUUUUUUGUUAUUAAGGAUUUUUUUAGGUUUAGCUGGACAUUAUAAAUAAAGCACCUUAGGAACACAUUUUUCUUUAUGCAUGGAAUAAAAGUCUUUGACUGUUUUUUUCGUAGAAUUCCUUGUUUCUCGAAUCACAGGCGGGUCGACUAAGGUUCUUACCUUUGGGAAGUAUCUUAAUCUUAUUAAAGAUCUAUGUCAGAUGCUGUUAUUUCACCACCUGAAAUAUUAACAAAAAAAAUAAUAAAAAAGUUUCCAAUUACAACUAAAAAGUUUCACUGCCCCUCUCCCAAAACAGAAUCUAGACCUCAGGUAGCAAUGCGAGUGAAAAGAGUGACAACAAUACUAGUAUAACUUACACCGACUCCAAAGGUGAUUUGGAGACACAAAAUAGGUAUUUUAAACUUCUUUCAAUCAUUGAAUUAAAAAGAGUUAGUCACAAGAAUUGUCCUUGUGUUAUACCCAAAGUUGCAUAUUCAAUCCAACUUUUUUUUUUUUUUUUUUUUUUUCUGUUUCAUUUUGGUCCCUAACAUUGGUUUUUGUUUCUGAUUUAUCACUGGUCCUGUAAAAUGACAUGUAACAAUAGUUUAAAAAUAAACAAAUUAUAGAAAAUUUUACAUUUUUGUUCCUCGAGUAUGGCUGCUUUUUGCAAUUUUGGUCCUAAAAUGUUUUCUUUUGCAUUUUUGGUCCUUAUUUGACAUUCGUGUAAUGGUUUUGGUCCCGGUUCCAAAUUAAGUGACAAUUUUUUCUCUAUGGGUGUGAUUUUGCAAUUUCGAUCCCAAAAAUAGCCAUUUUACUAGGAACAAGGGCAAAAAACGUUAUAAAAAUCUUAAAUAAGGACCAAAUUAGCAUGACACCCUUUUGGGACCAAAAUUAAAAACAUCAACUAUACUCAGGGACCAAAAAUGCAAUGUACUUUAAAAAGAAACAUAUGAGGGUAGAAAAUUCAUUUUAUUGUAGAAGUUGAACUAAACCUGAAAUGUUGGGAAUAACAUAGAGACCAUUCUUGUAAUUACUCUAAAAAGAAUAGAAGUUGGUAACAAAUGUCUGCCUUAUGAUGGGUGCAAUCUUUCAUCGCCACCAUUAUGACGUUUUGGACUUUACCAUUGUUCAUGAAACCCCGAGAAAUGACUAUAAUGCCCUUGAUCAUGAGCCACCCAUUCUGAAGGAGACACCAAUCAAGAGCAGUUACCCUGCUACUCUUGAAUCUGUCUCUGAGUCAACCAUAAUCUAAUCAAAGUUUCCCACUCGUUCCUUUUCUUCCCCUUGUUCCACAUCAGCUUCUGAAUGCAUGAACACAACAACACCGCCUAAAUAACAACAAAUCCCUCAAAACAAUUCACAUAUAGAUUCAAGUGUCAAUUCCCAUUUUCAUAAAAGAAGAAAGUCUUCAGCUUUUGCAUCAGUCAAGAUGGCCCACUUUGAUUCCCCUGACCCUAAAACCAAAUUUCCAGUGAAAGAAACCAUGAAUCUUGGUGAUGAAACCAAGAAUGAUCUAAAAAUAUCGUGUUCACUAUGUGAAAAACCCACUGGGUCUUGCGGAAAAUGACUAUUAUGUCCCUUGUUCUUUGAUGUCGUUAUCAAAGGUGCAGUUGUUGUCAAGCUGGAAAGGGAGAGAAAAGGGUCUCACAAGUGUAGUUGUUGUGGUGUCUGACAUUGCAUGUGUUGAUGGGAGAAUUUGGAAAAGAAGUGGUGAUGAAGGAAUUUGGAGCAAAGAAGAUGGUUGUUUAUUUAGUACGGCUUUCUACCCUUUCUGUAGUGAUCAAGUCAAUUGCCUUGGGUUACAUGUUGUGGCAACUGAUUCCUCUAAUGUGCAGCUUUUAAACACGGUAUCAUAUCAAUUCAUACUAUUAUAAUAUCUUGUCGCAUAUCCAACUGAUAAUUAUUGAGGGCAUAUUGGUCAUUUUGUUGAUUUAUGUUUUGGGAGUUGGGAGUUGGGAUGUGAUGAAUAUGAUCACAAAAUAUCUUUGAUCCUUCAGAGAUAUACAACCAACUUAUAUAACUUUUCUAUAUGCAGGUGCUCUUUUAUUCUGAAAGACUAGAAAUCCAACAUAUCGAUACAUCAACAACAAAUAACCUAAUUUUGCAUACGUUUCAAAUCGAAAGUGACUCCCUAAAAACAUUUGCAACUUUUGUCUUAUUAAAUCAGGCACACAGUCCCAGUCCAAUACAUACCAAAUGCAAUACAACCUGUUUUUUCAUAUACCGUCAUGUGUAACAAAGGAUUUUAAUUGAAGGAAGUCUCACCUUCUAGUGUUACAAGUUUGAGUAAAGGCGUCUCACAAAAUCCGUUUGAGAAAUUUGCCUACACAUCUCCACAAACCAACUCGAUGGGCUGGAGAACCACAAUAUCUAAGGUCAAAAAUCUCUAAUAUCUUGUUAUUUAUAGAUUCAUUAAACGUAUUUUAAAUUCUAGUUAAAGUUAAACUAUGUUUGUUGAUCAUGCAUAUGAGAUUACCAAAGAAAGUCCAAGUAUCCACUACUGAAUAUUGAUGCCUAACCUUACAUGUAAAUUCUCAAUCAUUGCUAAAUUGGUUUUAAACCUAUUUGGGAAAUUUAGGAUCUAUGGUUAUUAUAUUAACUUCAUGAUACAUUUGAGGUGUAUGACCAAUAAAAUGUGACUAUUGUAGUUGUAACAUUCUUUAUGACCAGCCAUAGUUUUAAUUUUGUUGUUUAUAAUGUUGUUUUCCUGAUUUUGGACAUGUUAAAUAAUCAACUCUAAUACGUUUUAAUUAAAGAGAUAAUAUUUUGAUGUGGAAAGUUGGAAUGAUCAAAUGAUUAGUAUUUAGUAGGUUAAGUGUUUUUAAUGAUAAAUAAAAUAUUUUUUACUAUAAAAUAGCCAACAAGACCAUAAAAGUAAUAUUUUGCUAAACAUGAAAUUAUAUUUCACUAAUUCAACCAUUUAAACCCUCUUCCAAGAAAACCAAUGAGACCAUUAUGGACUAUGAAAAAGAGAAUACGGAAAUGAUAGAUGUUGAAAUGAUGAAAGAAAUAUCUUACUUAAAUUUGUAUCACUCUUUAUUGUCUAAUCAUUUCAUAUUUUCCUAUUUGUUUUUCAUUUUUCAUUAGGUUUCAUGAUUUUUGUAGAUGGUGGUUUCUGAUAGUGAGGUCACAGAUUAAAUUUAUGUAAAUUUGUGCGUUCAAAUGUUAAAGGUCAUUCGAACGUAUUUGCUAUUGAUAUUUGAUUAUUUUUACUAUUAUUAAUUUGGCUCAAACGGAAAAGGACAACUCUUUGCAGUUAGAUAAAAAAAAAAUUGUGAUCGAAUUUACUUUGACUGCAUUGGUAAAAUAUGAAACAAUUAAAGAAGUUUGCAAUCACGUGGACAUAUUGCAUACUCAAGUGGUACCGGUUAGAGUCAUAUAUUCAAACACUUCAAUCUAAUACCAUGAGGGGAUAAUGACUUGGGAGGGUAAUAAGGUUUCCAGCUUGUCCGUAUUAGGUCACUAAGGUUUUUUUUGUGCGUAUUAGACCAAUAUGGUUGUUAUUACCGUUUAGAAAUAGUCCUUUUACCGGUUUUAAUGGGUAAAAAGGACAAUUUCUAAACGGUAAUAGCAACCAUAUUGGUCUAAUACGCACAAAAAAACCUUAGUGACCUAAUACGGACAAACUGGAAACCUUAUUGCCCUCCUAAGUCAUUAACCCUAAUUAUUUAGAAAACAUGCUUACUAAUCAAUGUGACUGAUUUGUUUGACUGAAAAUUUUGCUUCCAUUUAAACUUAUCUCACAACCCUUCCAGAACUUCUACGUCCAGAAACUCAUAUGAUUGAUGAUCUUCAUUACAUAAAUAUGCAACAUUUUAUCAAUAACUUCUUUUUUGUCAUUUAAAUGUUUACAUGAACACAUCCAUAUGUACAAAAACAAAAUAUCACUUUGAUACCUACCAUCAAUGUCUACAUUUGAUAACGAAUGGAAAUGUAAAACCAACAGGGACUUGCAAAUGAUGCCUAUUAUCAAUUAUUUUAUAAAAAGCAAAACCACAACAUGAACUAAGAAAUUGAAGUUGCAAAAUUAAUCAAAAUCAGCACAUAAACAAACACAUACAGACUAUAUACAACACAUAACGGAAGUUUANCUUAAUGAUAGGAAAAGUAAAAAACUUAAAGGAGACUUUAUAGAAAGAAAGAUCACUCUUACUUGCCACAAAUGGUUGAAGACAUCAACAAGAAGAUCAAUCUGACCAUAGAAUCCACAUGUUGUCUGAUUAUGAAUUCAGUAGAUGAACUACUGAAACGUAAGAAUUGCAAUUCAACUCUAUUAGCAUUUGAAAAGGGAAUUAGGGUUAAAAAAAAAUUGGACCAUUUCUUGAUUUGUGUGUGUCAUCCUUGCGCAGGGGCCAUGCAAAUCUUCCAUGUAUCGUUCCAAUUUUAUUGGAUGUCCCCAAAGGGACGACUAUAGAUGAAGAGCUUCGCCAUAUAGAGGAGUAGCAGGUUAUAUGGGACGACGCGAGUUCUAAACGAAGUAGUUUACUAUUGAUGGUCAUAUAUUCUUAAUGUCUUUAAAAUUAGUGUUAAUGACUUAGGAGGGUAAUAAGGUUUUCAGUUUGUCCGUAUUGGGUUACUAAGGCUUUUUUUUUUGUGCGUAUUAGACCAAUAUGGUUGUUAUUACCGUUUAGAAAUAAUCCUUUUUACCCAUUAAAACCGGUAAAAGGACUAUUUGUAAACGGCAAUAACAACCAUAUUGGUCUAAUACGCACAAAAAAAACCUUAGUGACCUAAUACGGACAAACUGGAAACCUUAUUACCCUCCCAAGUCAUUAUCCCUACCAUGAGUGUCCAAAAUUUUUUCUCAUUAUUUUUUCUCAUUAUUUUAAACCAUUUAAUUUAAUAUGAUAUGGUUUUUUAAAACACAUGUUUUAGUUGUUAAAUUAAAUUAUUACGUAAGCUUUUUCAAAUAUUAGACCAACUAAUAAUCAUCCCACUAAAUACAAUUAUUUUGAAAUUUUUUACAAAUUCUCUUUUUCUUUUUUGCAAAGGGAUGCCCAAAAUUAGGGGUGAUAUAUAUGUGGUGUAAAUGAAAUAUCACAUAUUAGGGAAUAUGAUUUAUCAAGGUAAUUAACUUUUCGGUAUGUUCACAUCUGGGUAACUAUCUUUUUUUUGUACAUAUGUAGGUAACAAACUUUUUGGAAGUGUUCACAUAUGACCAUUAUGACCUGCUAUAGCAGGUUAAAUCCUAGAUGUGAACGCUUUCAACAAGUUUGUUACCUAGAUGUGUACAAAAAAAAUAGUUACCCAAAUAUGAACAAAACGAAAAGUAAAAAUUAAAUUACAUGAAUGGUCCCUGUGGUUUGGGGAAUUUGUGGUUUUGGUCGCUAACUUAUUUUUUUUUAACUGAAAUGGUCCCUACUGUUUAUUUUUGUUGCGCGUUUGGUCCCCAUCUUACCUAAAAAUACUAUUGUGCCCUUAUUAAUUUAUUUUUUUAAUUAAUAUUCUUAUCUAUGUAUUUAUUUUUUACAUAUUCAAAAAAAUUAAUAGACCACACAUAUUUGUAUCUCCUCCCCAUUAUCUAUUUCUUUUCCAUCUUUAGUAACAUCGAUGUCUUCACCGUCCUUUUUUUUUGGUACUUCAACUCUGGCGAACCAACACCAUAACCUACUGUCUCUUCAUCUUUAGUGGGUUGUGGUGCUGAUUCGACGGAGUUGAAGGACCGAAAAAAGAAGUGAUGAUGAAGACGUCGAUAUCACUAAAGAUGAAAAAUAAAUAGAAGUUGAGAAGGAUGAAAGAUGGGAUGGUGAUGAGAUACAGAUAUGUGAGGUCUACUAAUUUUUCUUAAACAUAUAAAGCAUAAGUACAUAAACAAGAAAAUUAAUUAAAAAAAAUACCAAGGCAACAAUAGUCUUUUUAGGUAAGACAGAGACCAAGUUCAUAACAAAAUUAAAUAGUAGGGACCAUCCGAGUUAAAAAAUUAAAUUAAUUAAAAAAUAAAUAGUGGGGAUCAUCCGAGGAGAUACAAAUAUGUGUGGUUUUUUUUUUUUUUUUUAAAUAUGUAAAAAAUAAAUACAUAGAUAAGAAAAUAAAUUAAAAAAAUAAAUUAAUAAGGGCACAAAAGUAUUUUUAGGUAAAACGGUGAUCAAACACGCAACAAAAGUAAACAGUAGGGACCAUUUAAGUUAAAAAAAAAUAAGUUAGCGACCAAAACCACAAAUUCCCCCAAACCACAGGGACCAUUCAUGUAAUUUAAUUUUUACUUUUCGUUUGUUCAUAUUUGGGUAACUAUUUUUUUUUGUACACAUCUAGGUAACAAACUUAUUGAAAACGUUCACAUCUAGGAUUUAACCUGCUAUAACAGGUCAUAAUGGUCAUAUGUGAACACUUCCAAAAAGUUUGUUACCUACAUAUGUACAAAAAAAAGAUAGUUACCCAGAUGUGAACAUACCGAGAAGUUAAUUACCUUGAUAAGUCAUAUUCCCAACAUAUUAAGGUGGGGUAGGGAUCCGACAUUGUAUCGUGCUUCAAUAGAAACCGGUGGGACCUUUGACUGUUAGUGUAUUACUUGUGCUAUACUCUGUAGUAUGUUAGGCAAUGCUCUUAGUACCUAGAUUAUGACUGUUGACUGCAUUAUUUCCAUCCAUCCAAUACCAUGGUAUUUGCAGGUCAACAGCAAUAAUUGAGGCUUGUUCAUACUUCAAUAUAUUGGCCUUCUUCUUCACAAUUCCAACCAGUUGUACACAUACGCACUUUACAAAGCAGCAAAAACAGCAAGCAUUAGCACAGGCGCAUAUAGUAGAAGAGGUAUGUUUUUGUUGAAAGUUUUUCUCUUUGUUUAUGAAUAAUUUUUCUUAGUUGUUUUUUGUUUUCAAUCUAUCGAAUAUCGAUCCUUGACGAAAUUAUCUGAAAAAAAAUGUUUUGCGUUGUUACUUGUGGAUUGUUCGUGUAUGCUCCACAUAUAAAAUCAAGUAAACGUUUAAAUGAAUGACAGUGCCUCCUCAUUUCCCUCUUUUGAUUAUUGAACAAUGUUUUGGGGGAAUGUUUUUUUUAGGACAGAUGCUUCCACGUAGAGAUCAGUUCUAGCCCUAAUAUCACUGUAGGACUCUGUUUACAACUAAUAAACCCCUAAUUAAAAGGCACGGUAUUUUGUUCCUCAUCUCUCACAAUCUAUUCCCACUUUCAAUAAGAUGUUGAAAUUAACAAUCUAUUCCCACUUUCAAUCAUUUCAAAGAAAACCAAGGUUAAGUUGACAAGGGAAGACAAACAGCAAAAUUAACUAUGAAUUUACAUACACAUUAAUUUACCAACUAUCAAUUCUAUUCUAGCCAAACUUAUUAUGUGUCCUGAAUCCUGAAGGAAACUUUUUAUAACACUAAUUAUCUAUGGAUUGUAUAUGAUAAUUGAAAAAAGAUAGCUAAGCAAGUUAAUAAGUAAUAAGUUUUAACAAUUUCAUUGCCUUUUUUAUCUGUUACAGGUCUCUGUAAAAGCUAGAAUAUUGAAAGAUGGAGCUUGUAUCUGCAAUCAUUAGUCCUAUUGUUGAAUCUUUAAUUGCUCCUGUCAAGAAACAACUGGGAUAUCUCUUUUCAUCCACGAAUCAUGUUAGGAACAUGAAUACUAAAAUAAAGCUACUGGAUGAUACAAGCCGUGAUGUCAAAAAACACAUGGAAACAAACAAUAGAAGUAAUCUGGAGAUACCUACUCAUGUAACGGGGUGGUUGGAAGAAGUUGAAAAGACUAAAGAAAAAGCUCAAAGCAUUCCAAGUAUUGGGAGCGGAUGUUGUAACUUGAAAAUGAGGUAUCUAGUUGGAAAGAAGGCAUUCAAGACUACGGAGGAGAUGGAAAGUCUUAUUGAUGAAAAUAGUAAGAUAAUUUGGACAAAUGCUCAAAGACCUCUUGGGAAAGUGAACUCAGAAAUCGCAUCCAGUUCUGCACCUUCGGAUGGUGAUGCCCAAAAUCACUUCAAAUCAAGAGAGAAGUCUUUUAAGAACGCCUUGGAGUCCCUCCAACAAGAUCACAAGAGCAAAGUGAUAGCCCUAUGUGGAAUGGGUGGUGUGGGGAAAACCACCAUGAUGGAGCAACUGAAAAAGGCUGCAGAAGAUAAGAAAAUGUUUGAUUAUGUUGUGAAGGUGGUUAUUGGGCAACAAAUUAACAUGCUUUCUAUUCAGCAAGAUGUGGCAGUGUAUAUGAUGGGCCAGUCCCUCAUUGAACUGAGUAAAGAAGCUAGAGCAGAUCGUCUUCGUAUAACAUUUGGAAACCUUCUAGAAGGUAGAAGAAAGGUUUUACUAAUACUAGAUGAUGUAUGGGAAACGAUUGACCUCAAAGAUAUUGGAUUGAGUCCUUUGCCCAACGGCUUCAAGUUGUUGCUGACAUCACGAAAUGAAAAUAUUUGCAAACAAAUUGCAGUAGAAGCCAAUUCGGAGUCAACACUAGUUCGAGUGGAUGUGAUGGAAGAGCCUGAAGCAUGUAGUUUCUUUUGGCAAAUUAUAGGUGUUUCAAAACAAUAUGAUAAGGAUCUCAAACAAAUAGGAAGUGAGAUCGUGAGAAGAUGUGGUUUUUUGCCCCUUGCCAUUAAACUCAUCGCCAAAACCCUUCAAUUUCAAGAAGUUUUUGUAUGGAGAGAUACUUUUCAACGGUUGAAGAAGAAGAAUCUUGAUGAGAAUGUGCAAGAAGUUAUUAAGAUAAGCUAUGAUUAUAUAAAAACAGAGGAGGAAAAGGUGAUUUUUCUUCUGUGUGGCUUGUUUCCUGAUGACUUUAAUAUCCCAAUUGAGGAACUCACAAGAUAUGCAUGGGGCCUACAGUUAUUAAGUGAAGUAUCCACUUUGGGAGAGGCUAGAGACAGGACAAAAAUGUGUGUGCAGAAUCUUAGAAAUGCAAAUUUGUUGAUGGAUAGCGAUUGCAUUGGGUGUGUCAAAAUGCAUGAUCUUGUGCUUGCUUUUGUCAUAAAUACAGUUUCUAAAGGUCAUCAUCCAUGGAUAAUCAACCAUGGUGAUAUUUCAAAGUGGAGUAGAGCUGAAGUGAGAGAGUCUUGCAAAAGACUUUCUAUUACUUGCACAGGAAUGUCUGAGUUUCCUGGUGACUCUAAGUACCCAAACCUAUCACUUUUGAGACUUAUGGAUGGAGAUAAGUCACUUAAGUUUCCUGAAGGUUUUUAUGAAAAAAUGGAAAAUCUUGAAGUUGUAGCAUAUGAAAAAAUGCAGUAUCCGUUGCUUCCCAGAUCACUUGAAUGCUCCACCAAGCUCCAAACACUCAUUCUCCAUCAAUGCCUAUUGAUGUUUGAUUUCUCUGUUAUUGGUGAACUCAUGAAUCUGGAAGUGCUCAGUUUUGCUCAUUGUGGCAUCAGAAAGUUACCAUCCACAAUUGGAAAUUUGAAGAAGCUAAAGCUAUUGGAUUUGACGGGGUGUGUAAAUCUUCGUAUUGAUGAUGGUGUAUUGUUAAAUUUGGUCAAGCUUGAAGAGCUUUAUAUGAGAGUUGAUGAUAGAAAGGCAAUUAGGUUCACAGACAGCAAUCGUGUUGAAUUAGCAGAGCUUUCAAAUCAUCUUUCUGCAUUAGAAGUUGAGUUCUUUGACAACAAUGGUACGCCCAAGAAUAUGCUGUUUACUGAACUUAAAAGGUUUAGAAUCUCUAUGGGAUGUGGUUUAGGAGACAAUACUCACAAAAAUAUGCACUCAUUUGAAAACACAUUGAGGUUGGUCACUAACAAAGAUGAGCUGUUGGAAUCUACAAUGAAUGAGUUGUUUGAGAAAACCGAGGUGCUUUAUUUGGAGGUGGAUGGUAUGAACGAUCUUGAAGAAGUUUUAAUGGAAUCAGUUCAUCUCCCUCAGCAAGCGUUUAAUAAUCUAAGAGUCCUUGAUGUGUUCAAGUGUGAAAACUUGAGGUACCUCUUCACAGUCCCUAUUGCAAAUGGUUUGGUGAAGCUUGAGCGCCUCACAGUUUCAGAGUGCUCUGUUCUUGAAGUACUUGCACAUGGUGAAAAUGGUGGAGCUGAGAAAAUUAAGUUUCAGGGGCUAAAGUUUCUAGGAUUGGAUAGGCUACCAAAGCUGAUAGGUCUUUGCAACACUGCUAAUGUAAUUGAGCUACCACAGCUGGUGGAGUUGGAACUUGAUGGCCUUCCUAACUUCAAUAGCAUUUAUCCAAAGAAAACAUCUGCAACAUCUUCUAUGUCCAGUAAUGACUCUGCAAUUCAACCAUUAUUUAACAAACAGGUACCUCUAUAUUAGGAUUUAUGUUGACAGUUUCAUAGAUUGACUUAUAAUCAACAAGUCUUAAUUGUUGUGCAGGUGCUGAUUCCUAAGUUGGAGAAAUUGAGGAUUUGGAGGAUGGAUAAGCUGAAAGAGAUAUGGCCUUAUCAAGUUAUAAGUAGCAAAGACGUUGAUGCCUGCGUGUUGAGAAAGAUUGAAGUGAGGGGAUGUGAUAAUCUUGUGAAUCUGUUUCCAACCAAUCCCAUGUCUUUGCUGGGUUGUCUGGAAGUGCUUGAUGUUUCUAAUUGUGGAAACAUUGAAGUGUUAUUUAACAUCGACAUGAGUUGUGUUGGUGAAAUUGAAGAACACAGUAGCAACUUGAGACAAAUUGAAGUAUCUAAUUUGGAGAAGCUAAGAGAGUUGUGGAGGAUGAAAGGUGAAAGUAGCUCUGAUAUCCUCAUCCGUACCUUUCAAGCUGUUGAAAGUAUAGAAAUAGAAGAGUGCAAGAGGUUUGUAAACGUAUUCACACCGACCGUCACCAAUUCUGAUGUGAAAACAGUUAUGAAUGUGAGUAUAGAUGGAAGGAGACCUUCUGAAGAAACCAGGAGCAACAUUGAAUUGGUUCAGAACAGCCAGGAGGUAUGUGAUGUCAUUGAGCUUUCAAUUUCUCUUUUGAUGUUAACAACUUAUGUAUAUGUGUCUCUAUACAUACAUACACGUAUAUAACAUAUCACACUACAACAAAUCAAUCAAUUCUACACAAUUCUUUCGAUGUGUUCUGCUAGAUUCUCACUCUUGAAUUUCAAUCACACAAGGAUGGAAAGGAGAAAUACAAGAAAUUAUAGAUCUCACACUGGAAAUUGAUGAUCUAAUGAUCAAUUUUACAUACAUGUGAUAGAAAUCUGGCGGUUUGAGUUGCCAAGAUCUCCCAAAGCGACUAAUCUCUAAAAUAAUUGAUAAGAUGUCUCUCCUAACUGAUCUCUUACAAUAUAAAGGCAUAACUGAAAUAGUUAAUUUACUUAUUUACCCGUGCUGCCCACAAUUGCUUACUCAUGGUUUAAAUCCUUUCUUGCCUCUUUGUGAAUAAGUAAGAAUUGGUUUAUUUCCCUUCUUGCCCCUCCUUGAAUAUGUGAACAUGAGUUAUAUUUAUUUGUAAUUAUAUUUGUUGUUGAGAUAUGUGCAGAUUAAUGUAAUAUCCAAGGAAGAGAUCAUUUCAGAGGUGGAUGGUAAUAUUCCUGACGUUGAAUCCUCAAUUCAUCCCAAACCUUUUAACGUUAAUCACCUUCAAGUACUUGGCUGUAAGGAUGUUGAAGUGGUGUUUGAGAUAGAGAGUUCCAGUAACAGCAACAGCACCACAGAUUUCACAACAAGUCUGCAUAAAUAUAAUCAUCAACCACCACCACUACUACUUCCCCACCUCAAGUCUUUAUAUUUAAUAAAUAUGGAGAGGAUGAGUGAUGUGUGGAAGUGCAAUUGGAAGAAACUUGUAAUUCAUCAAAACCAAUCACAAUCCUACUCAUUCCACAACCUCACAAUCAUACACAUGGAAAAGUGUCAUACCAUAAAGUACUUAUUUUCACCUGUCAUGGGCAAACUUCUUCCCAACUUAAAGGAUGUCUGGAUACAUGAGUGUGAUGGUAUUGAAGAAGUUGUUUCAAAUAGAGAUAUUAAUGAUGAAAAUGAAGAAAUAAUAUCUUCUACUCACACAAACACCAUCUCCUCCUUCCCUCUUCUUGAUUCUCUCUACCUUUUUAAUCUGCCAAGCCUAAAGAGUAUCGAUGGCGGUACUACAAUCACAACUACUUCCAUCCAUGAUCAGUUCCAGGUAUAUUUGAUUUCUUUUAAGCGAAUCCUUUACAUAUUUCAGUUAUUUGUUUUAUUUAAAUAUAUAUUUAUUUUUAAUAUUCUAUUUUCCAUUAGCUGCUUUAUAUAACUCCCUAAGCUAAUUCUUCUGAAGCUGGAAAGACAAAAAUAAAUAACUACAUGCAUAGUAUUUAAUAGUUUUUUCAUUUGCGUAGGUCAUUAAGUUGAUUUAGGAUAAGACCGGAUUGUCAGGGAGAGAAAAAAAUUGAUUGAUGGAUGUAUAUAAGUCAUAUGAAAAAUAGAAAAAAAAUGAUUUUAUUGAUGCUUUUUUUUGUUCUGUUUUUUUUUUUUUUUUUUUUUUUUUUUGUUUUGUUUUGUUUUGUUUCCUAGCAUGCUAGUUUGGCUUAGUAAAAUUCGGUUUGUUGUUUAAGAGAAAUAUCUUUUUUGCUGACAUUGAACAAAACAAUAUGAAACUUUAUGUAGCUGUAUCUAAUGUGCCAACUGAAAAUAUAUAAAUACAAUAUGUGACAAUAGGCUCCUGUUUACAAUUUCUUUUGUACCAGAAAAGUGUGCUAUUCAAAAUAUUAACUUUAAGACAUUGAACUAUUAUAGAGUCAAAUGUCAAUGUUGUCAAUUUUGGAAAUAUCUCUAGAUCUUAAUUUAUCAAGUAUAAUUAGCCAACUUUUUACUGAAAAGGACUCCC
RNAcentral lists this long non-coding RNA (47922 nucleotides) under Lactuca sativa (garden lettuce). RNAcentral's name for it is "long non-coding RNA (LSAT_LNC000990)". Lineage: Eukaryota; Viridiplantae; Streptophyta; Magnoliopsida; Asterales; Asteraceae. The record is from RNAcentral.